Molecule: long non-coding RNA, 57926 nt
Filed under: Citrus sinensis (sweet orange)
Lineage: Eukaryota; Viridiplantae; Streptophyta; Magnoliopsida; Sapindales; Rutaceae
Description: long non-coding RNA (CSIN_LNC001542)
Source: RNAcentral
GGGGGGGGGGGGGGCGCAAAAAGAAAACAGAGAUUGCAUUGGGAAGUUUUCAAGAUCUGCAAAUGCCUCCUUGCCCUUACGUCACUGAGUAAUUCCCUUGGGGUUUCUCACUGUAAAACAUCGGAAUUUUGUCAACUUAUUCACAGACAAUUUUAAAUUAUUUAUAGGGUAUCAUGCGGUCCCGAAUUCACGAUCUAUCUAAAUGCUUUUUAGUAACAGUAUAAAAAUAACACAUUAAUUCAAUUAGAUGCGUGAAGAGAGCGAAAAAGGCAAAAUAUUUGUUUUCUAAAGAGAGAUUAAUUGACUUCAAUAGAGAAGUUUAGUAAUGGCUAUGAAAUGAGUUAUAUGCAAAAGACAAAUGAUUUUUUUUAAUUAAGGAUAUUAUUGAGAUUUCUGAAGAUUUAUACAGUAAAAUACGAUUUUGUAAUUUAAUAGAGAGUUUGUAAAGUAAAAAUAGGUUUAAUGAGUAAUCUUAUGAGUUUAAAUAAGCGCACUCAACUUCAUUUUCUAACUUACAAAUCUAUCCGCUAAUUAAUUACACUAAAAGAAAAAAAAUAAUUCAAAUUAAACAGAUUAGCCUCAGUACACUCUUUAGUAUUACAUAAACCGAUAUGUUCCAAUAUAAUGAUGGACUGAAUUCAAUAUUGUUACCGCCUUUUUGUUAUUGUGGUUAGAAAUUUUAUGCUACAACAUUAAAUAAAAUAUUGCGUAAACACUAAACACAUACGACUCCAGGUUGAAAGUUGAGUUGGCACUAUAAACAUUCAUUAAUUUCUUUAUUAUUUUUAUCAAAUCAUUAAUAUUUUUUUUAUGCUUAAAAGCUGCAGGCAAAUUAAACCUUUCUGAAAAAGACAAACGAUUAUAGUAUUAUACUCCUAUAGAAGAUUUUUUUUGCUCCAAUUUCUCUUGAGAACAAUAACAUAUCGUUCUCAUUUAUAACAUAGUUAUUGUCAUCUUUUAAGACCAACCUUGAGAUCCCUUCCGAGCUCGAUCACGGUUGUAAACAAACCCACGGUUAAUAAAGGGUUCCAUUCCAUCGAGGCCGUUGAGCUUGAGCUGUAAGCAAUAUUUGUCUGUCUACCUGAAAUUGGGAUCGAAGUUCACUGAUUUCAAGGCUCUAGCUAUGGCCAAUGGAGGUGGUGUAACUAAGGAAUAUGCCCCCUAAAACCAAUUUUGAUCAAAUCAUAAUGCUACAGUAGGAGAAACAGUAACCCCCCAACAAAAAAAAAAAAUUCGACUGAAAUAUUUUAAAAGUUAUGAAAUGUAUGAAACUAUUGAUAAUUUAUACAAAAUGUAACAGAAAAUGUGUGUGGAUACAUACACGCAGAUUCGCACUGGAAACAUUAAGAUCAACUUUUAACUCACCAUGCCCAAACCUAACUUGUACAAGGUCUUUCUGUGAACCGGCAGAAGCACCCUCUAUGACACAUUGAAACUAUUGCUUACAUGCAGGUAAGAAGUUAGCAGUCACGCCCUGAGUCACCCUUAAGUCGUUGGUAUAUGUCACUCCGUAAAAUCUCCGCAUAUUCCUGCAAUAUUAAACCCCCCAAAAAGAGAGAAAUCUUAAGAUCUGAACAAUAUAAUAAUCAUCAAGCUUCAAAAGUAGAACAUAAUUGCUGUUAGGGAGCAUCACAAACCACAGUGGCAUGGUACUUACCUCUGCAAGAUCCUCAUCACUGCAUAACUCACUUACAAGAUCUUCGCGGCCGCUUCCAUUGCAAUGAAGCUGGCCAGCAUUUUGGACAACGGCUCGGAAGACCUCUCCAGGUGGAUCCAAGUGCUCAAUCCUCUGAACCACUUGUUGGAUUCCUAUCUGGAAGACAAUUAAAUAAAUCAGGAAAUAGUUACUAACACUGAUUGAUAAAGCAAAGUCCUUAUCAACACAUAUGGUAAUAAGGCAAUAAAAGUAAUCAGUAAUACAGUUUCCUUCCAGCAUCUAUAUGCAUAUGCCCAAGAAAUUUCUCGUAUGUUACAGGAUAUAAAACAAUAGAGUUUCAUCAACACUCGUAUAACUACACCCGGGUAUCGCAAAUUGAAUAACACAAGAACGGUUAAACACAAAGGAAACAGCCUUUUGAGUUAGUAGCCCGAAUCGAUUUUAGCAGAGUCAAAAAUCAAAACCAUCCUGUAAAACAUGAGAUUUUAACACUUAAUUCAGUUUACUAACUUCCCAGGUUCUUUACUAUUUUGUCUUUUCAGAACGUGUACAAACCUGAAUUGGAUCAUCAGGGUUGUCCACCCCACUUGACCUCCUCUCACUACACUGAGGUGUGCCAGAAAGGGGUUGAGGCGUAGAUCCACGACCUAGAGCUUGAGAAACAACAGGCAUCAUCUGUUGGACCAUUCUUGACAAGUCAAUACCACCAGCCCAACCACCCCCUAACCCUGAAAACAUGUUUCCCACAUCCUGGGUGUCAAUCUGCUGAGCAAUUUGAUUCACAGUAUUCAAGACUUGCGGGCUCUGAGUGAGCUGCUGCAACAUAUUUCUCAAUACAUCCGGAGAACCAAUCCCAGUUUGCUGUGAAAACCCUGACAAUAGACCAUUCAACUCAGUGCUACGUAGAACUUCAGAUAUAGCACUUGCAGUGUCAACUUGGCUGUCGAUGUCUUGCCCUCCUGACUGUUUACUCUCUGUGACCCUCUCAACUACAGGUAAUUGACCAAAGGAUAGCUCAUUUGCAUCUAUCCCAUUCCUUACGGAGCUGGAAGAUGCAAGAGUUUGCAAGAGAUGCUGGCCAACAGAUGUAGAGUUCAAGUUUUGAUCAAGAGGAGCAUUGCUCAUUCCACCAUCACUACUCUUGACCGGGGUCUUUGGCUGCCUUGGCCGCCUCUGAUCACAUAAAAAACAAGGGAGUUGCAAGCAAUCAGAUAGCAGAAGACAUCAAAGGAGAACACAUCAGAGAAAAUUGAUUAAUAUACUGAAACAGAAGGGUUAGCACACAAAGUGCCAUAGAGAAAGACUUUGGAGAAAAAAUAAUUACUAAAAUGGAGUGCUUAACAGUAUCAAUGUAAUACUUGGGUAAGUAAACAAAGAGCCAUCUGACAAUCAUGAAGAUCUAGCCUGCGAAAAAUUCCAUGCACAUAUUUGAGUAGGAAUCUUUUUUUUUCCCUUCUUUUUUUUUCUUUUUAAGGAUCUUGUCAGAAGACUUGGAUCUAACAGCAACUUCAAAGUACCACAAUAUGAAGGAUAUUUCGAAUAUUUUUUAAAACGAACAAAAUUAUCAUACCUUCCGUUCUAAACCCCCCAGCCCCAAUCCAAGUGGAGCAGCUUUGGAACCCUCCUGCAGAUCUUGCUUCUCAAUAGAUCCAAGAGCAUUUCCUGAAUUGUCUUCUGACUCUCCACUUGAUGAACUCUGAGCACCUCCACUAGAAGAUGAUGGUGCAUCUUUAGAACUCAAGACGCUCCCCAUACCUUCAUUAGUCCUUACAUGAUCUCCUUCAGGUAGUGCCUGCUACAUUAUCAGCAGUGGUCAAAGGAAAUCACAAAAUUAUUCCAAUUUGCAUCAUCCAAGGUUUUUAUACAAAGCAAACCUUCUGACUUUCACUUUCCGGUGUGUUCCCGGAUAAAGAGACCCUAAGUUCACCAACUCUGUUAACUGGUGUGCUACUGAGCUGUUCAUUGCCAGCAUAACUUCCUACCAUAGAUCCAUCAGAUAAAUUCUGCCCCGCUGACAUCACUUCAGCUACAUACAGAAAGAGCAGUAUUUGUCAACCGUGCAGUCAUUAGUACAUGAAUUAGUAUCAAAGGUACCUACCUGAUGGAACCUGGUUUUCUCCUUGCAUGUUACCAACAAAGUUCCUGAUUUGUGAAUUCACUUGAUCAACAACAGAGGAUAGCAAACCUGAGUUGGCAGAUAGCUGAGGUACGGAUAAGCCUGGACCAGGUUGGGCUACAGUGGAAAUUGCAGCAGCAGUAGGACGUGAUGGUACAGCUGCUGCAAUGAUAUUUCUCACAGGUAGGACCCUCACUGAACCAGAACCAGCCAACUCUGUAGAACCAGUAGCAUUCCUGCGUUCUCCCUGCACUCCAUCCCCAUUACUUGCCCUGGUACCAAUUGUUGAAAGAACAGGUGCCAGUGCAGUGCCUAAUAACACGUACACCAUCAGAUCCAUAAAAGUAUAAGCAGCACGUUAUGCAUAAAAUUUACCUACCAGCAUGUAUAUGAAUAUUUAUGUUCCUUGGGGCAUGUCCAACACCAACUGGGCCAAUAUUCAUGGGAUUUGAUGAAGGAACUGAACCGCCAAACAAAGAGCUGGUUUGGAUAGGAAAUGGCUGUAAAUAAAGGAAAGCCAUGAAUAAAUAGGUACAUUAUAACCAGCUUUUUUUAAUCAUUUCAAAUCCUAAGAUUGUAGCUAGUAAAUCGUAAAAGAGCUCAGCAUUUAAAUUGUCAGAGAGAUACAGUGACAGAAACACACAAUUGAAGCAACAUAAUCCAAGGAAUAAACUAUCUCCUAUGCAAUUCCAAAACCAUCAUAUUCACUGCAGUCAGCAAAUUUCACUACUACUCACACUCUCAUUUUUUCUCUUUAAGCUCUAUACUCUUUAGCAAAGGUUUUCAUUACCUUUUUCCAGCCAAAUACAGCACUCUGUAUCCCCUCCCUGUCUACAUGAAAGGAGUAUAAUUUUAUACUGCAGUAAGCGUAUUAUGUACUGUUCCUCCACAAUGCAUAAUUAUUAAAAUCUGUCAGCUGGUAACAGAUUUUGCCAGUACGUACAACAUAUUUACUGUCCUAGGAACAGCUAACUUAACACAUUACUGUUACAAACCACCAACAUCAUGUUUAUCCAACCAUUCACCACGGCACAGGAAGACCCACUUAUACCCUCAAAUCUUAUUCUACAUGUGUGAUAUAUACCAAAACAUAUGAUACAUAAUUAUUGACUAACCUGAACCAUUAUUGGAUUAGGUCCUGAUGGAGAUAUAUAAACAGCAGGCCCAGCAUUGACAGAAAAUUCCACCUGCAAGUUGCAGUGGAAAAAAAAAGGUGAAUAUGUACUCAAAAAUGUGAACAUGUAAUCACAAAAAGAGCCAAUAUGCAGAGGAUAGACUAGAACAUACAGGAGACUGCCCCAUACGGAGUGUCAAAAUUACACGACCAAGCUCUAACAGAAGAGAACCCAAGUGUUGCAUUGCAAAUCCUAUUUGCACAGAUUCUGCCUGAAUUUGACCCCUGAUAUUAGGAUCUGAAGAAGCACCCUCUUGCUCCAAACGUCCUGCGAUAUGCUACAUUAUAAAUAACACUUAAUCAGAUUACUAGAGUUAUCCCUCCAAGAAAAUAAUAAUAAUAAUGAUGAUGAUAACUAAAGAAAGAAGCAAAGUUGGUCCAUUUUCAGCAACUUUAUCUCAAAAACUUUUCUUUCAUAAGAUAUGAGUGAUUAUAAAAUAUUGCUUUGAUAUUGGUAAAGUGCAUGCUUUAGCUUCAAUAAGUGAUUAAAUCUUGAUUCCAAAUACUACAAAUAUGCACUGACAACUAUGUGCGAUGCAUUUCAGAAAAAAUGAAAAAAGAAAAAAAAAUUGUGGUGAUUAGCGAAAUAACUUUCUAUAAUUUAAAAUGUGCAAUUACAAUGAACAAAAUCAGCAAAAGAUUCAUAAGUUCAUCUGAUCAACCAGCAAAAGUAGAAAGAAAAGUCAAACCCAAUAACAUUAAGGAAAUAACUGAUCAAUACAACAGUAUAGAAAACAGACUCUAUAAACACAGAUGUAACAAAGGGAUUGAAAAUGCAAACUCAGCUCUGACUAGCUUUACAGAAAGAUAUAUGCUUUCCGUUCCAAGAUAAAUUUUAAUGAAAAUAAUCCACUAAUAUAUGCUAAUGGAAACCAGGCACAAACACAUCUCAGUUUCAAACAAAGAUAAGGAUCCACCAAUGCAAAGACAAAAAGUGAAAAGAAGUGUUCCAAGAAUAGUAUUUACAGAGAGUGCAGCCACAGUGUGACCACUGAGAAGCCUUUGUGCACGUUGCAGGACAAUGUUCAAAGCUUCAGGAGUUGGCAAACCCCGUUCGUUGGAUGGUAAUUCAGGUCGUGGUACUUCUUCAUUACUAGUUGAUGAUGUAUUUGGCUGAUACCCUAUACAUCACAGAAACAGUUAGUUGGAAGUUAUAUCAAGCACAGAAGCACAAGACAAUGCUUUAGCACAAUCACCAUUUUGGGACAGUGUCUGCUCCAUGUGGUUCAUAAACUCUGAAAUUGUAUUUAAAGAAUCAGGAAUUGGCUGAAACCAAUAAAGAAAUGAUAUUAGUAAAUAAUAAAGGCAUAUAACAAGUAAACAUGCACAAAUAGAUAUUUCCAUACCACAUUAAGUGAAGGAAAUGGCACAGCUCCUGCUGUCUGAGGAAUUUGCACAACAGGAGGUGACGAUAAUUGACCAGGAUAUGGCUGUCCGGACUGUGCUUGAUUUCCCACUUGGCUUUGAUUCCCAACAUGCCCACCACUGCCAGCUGUCUCAUUUCCUUGUUGAGGCUGAGCAUGAAUAUUUGACUGCAAAUAAUAACACGAUCAUUUGAAUACACUAAACACAUACACAGGUAUUUCCGAUUGCAGCAAAGAACUACACAAAUCAGGAAAAUGAUUUAAAUGGCUACUUACACGGAUGACAGACACCAUAAUGAAUAGGUUCAACAUGAUAGCCACAAAUGGAGCUACACAGCCAAAUUUGUCUAUAAAACUGUGAAAAUAUGUUCAUGUGAAUGAAUGCAUUGCUCAAAACAUUCGAUUGGAUAAAAGAAUGUGACAACCACAAAUGGAGCUACACAGUCAAAUUUGUAUGUAAACAGUGAAAAUAUGUUCAUGCGAACGAAUGCAUUGCUCAAAAUAUUUGAUUGGAUAAAAGAAUAGCAUAAUUAAGGAAAAAUGUCUCCGGCUGCCACUUCCAUUUAAAAAAAUAAAAGAAAACCCAUCCCAUGAGCGAGAAAGUAAAUUAUUUAGAAGGGAAGGUUGAAAGAUGCUCCAUCACGCUAGCACAAAGACAUAAAAAAAAUUAAAAAUGCAAACUUACCAAAGUUGAAAACUGUAUGCCACUAUUACUGCCAGUAGCUGGGGUCUGACCACCAAUUCCAAGGGAAUUGAUAAGUGCCCCAAUAACCUACAAGUCAACCAAUAAGGGGUUAACAACUUGUGGAAACAACAAAAUACAAAUCCUUCCAUCCUUCCUUCUCUUCCUGCAACAGCAGUUAAAAAACCUGAUACAAAGAUAUAUUAAAGCCCACCAAGUUAAGAAAAAAGUAAUAUUUUCAGACGCACCCGAGUGAGGUCUGGAGCAAUGCCUUCACCUUGAUCCCCAACAUUGAAGGUCCCAAGAAGUACACUGUGAGAAACUUGCCCCAUACGACCACGAGGGGCAUUAGCAUUGGCUUCGCUACCUGCCAAAUUAGGACAGAAACCAUGACUAACCGACUUAGAAAUGAUCAACAUUGCUGUAAGAAAAUGCUUGGAAUUACGAACUGCCGGAGAAUCCUAAUUGGAGAAUCAGUACCUCCAGUAACAUUGUUCCCAUUUGUCUCUCCAGAGCUCGCAUCAGAUGAAGGCUGUGAUUGAGCUGGCUGCCUAAUUACCAAAUGCAGUGUAUGCCCAUUCUCAACAUCUAAAAACAGUCAAGGAAUUCACGGAAUUGCAGUGAUAGAAAAAUCCACUUAGAUGGCUAAAUGAGCCAUAAGAUAGUGAUAAAAUACUGGUGUAAUAAAACAUCAAUACAGCAAGUGAAACUAAGAAUAUAUGGCAAACAAAUCGCAGCCCAGAAACUCUUUAACGCAAAAAUAAAGAUCGCAUCAAUGGGGAGAUACGGUAUUCAGAAAGGAGAUGUUCAUCCUUUAACACCUUUCCCCUGAAUAUCAAUCGUUGCUGGCCAACUGGGACACCAAUAUCAUUGGCUAUCUUCUCCUUGAAUAAUGUAACUGGGAUCUGAAUCAGAAUGACAUUAUUUGGAAAUGAAUCCAGUGAAGUUCAAAUUUUCCAAAGAAAAGAAAUCGAUUAGCACAAUGAAUUUGUGAAUUUCAACAAUUUGGAGGUCCCAUUCAUGAUAUGCAAAUUGUAUGAACAAAAACUGUUAUUUCGGUCAUCAAUAAGAAUGAAAAUGCCAACCAAAAUAACCGAAUAACGAUUACAGUGAAUUGAAACAAGAAGCAUGAUCAAGACUUUGCUCACAUUUUUGUCAACUUGGAAACUAUAAACCUGGGAUUCUAAAGUCUUGACAUUGAUCUCUACAAUUGCAUCUGAACUUUUGCCAGAAACAUUGCCUGUGCUGGAACUCUCAUUGGGAUAUUGAUCCGCCAUGAUAAGCAGCAGCAACCUGAGUGCAAAAUCAGUUACUGUACAAAUUCAAACUCUGACAUACAAGCAAUCGCAUAUCACAAAUGCAAAAUGGUACUUGUCAUUUUCUAAGUUUGUUGCAAUCUGAAGUUUACAGAAUAUCUAUCUAUCUGCACUGGCGUUAGUAGCUGAUGCACCGGCAUGCAAUUAUUCAGAUAACGAAUGCGACAAAGGACAUUUAAUGCUUAAAAUGAAAAGAUGCUAUGCAGCACUUUGAAAAGUUUUAAAUGUCAGCAUCAUACAUUUUUAUGUAUAUGGAUGUUCUUUCUCGUCUUAAGUUGCAAUAACAUGAAAGAGAUACUACAAAACAGACACAUUGCAACCAAUGCACUUACUUAACGCUAGAAUACACAAAAUAAGAGCCAUCCUAUACCUCCAUAAAAUCAUAACGAAUAUAAUACACUCUCUCUGAAAUAUACCUUCCUAUCAAAAUCUAACCUAAUGCCGCAUCUAAAGGCAAACAAGAUCCCAAUUCUAUCAAAUUGCAAGAAGGAAGAUGACAUAGUUUUCAAAGCAAGAAAUUAUGCAUGGUGAGUUUAUAAAACCCUAAUGCUGAUCAAAUCCUGAAUGCAUACAAUAAAAAUCCACAAAAAAAAAAACACUUCUUCAACCAUUACUCAGCUUUUAUUAUAAAAAAGAUGCUGGAGAUCGCAAUCAAUCAUAACAUCAAGGCGAAGAGAAAUAAAAAUAUUAAAUAAAUAAAAAGUUAAUCCUUCGAUACAAGAGUACUAAGAUAAAACAAAAAUUAGAUACUAAAAUUGCUAAACAGAACGAGUUCCGCUAUCUGCUUAGGGCGUGCAAGAAUAAAAUCGUGACACGUUUAAUCCGUAUAUAUAGCCCUCCCCGCCCCAACAAAAAAAAAAAAACAGAUACAAAGUAUUCAAGAGAGAUAAGAGCAGGAAAAAUGGAAAACACGAGAGGAACCUUUAGUUGCAGAAAUCUGAAAUUAAAUUAGAGUGCAAAGACGACGGGAAAAAUACGGCGGCGCCGAUUUGAGUGUUAUUUAUUUAUUUUUCGUUGGUUGGGGAAGGGGGGUUAUUUUUGAAGAAAGGCUUGGCUCGGGUCUCUUAACGAAUGCGGAAUGCCUUUGGGAGUAAGAAAAGAAGUCUUCUUUGGUCUAGAUAGUAGAUAGAGAACACGGGUGAUAGGGCGGUGCCGUGGUACAUGACCCGAGUUGACCGGGUUUUAGCUGCUUUAAUGAACUGUGCAAUCGAUUAUACCACGAGGUACGUUUGGCAAGAAGAAUCUAGAAAAAAGAAGCUGAGCGUAAGGCUGUGCAAGGGAAAUUCAUUCUACGGUGCCGUUUUGUUGGUGGUCUUGGUUUUCAGGUUGGAUGCAAGAAAGUUCAAUAUGGGCCUCGACAAUUCAAUAAGACCUGCCCAUUCCUAGAUGGACUUACAUUAUUGCCACCCCUCUAAAUGCCGCUUAAAAUCCAUUUUCUUUAUUAAUCUCAUUAAAACGUUUAAAAAUAAUACAACGUGUUUUUACUAGUUACGUUAAAAAAAAAAAAAAAAUCAAUUGAAACUUAUUCGUGUAAAUCAACGCCAUUCUUUAGUAUCCUCUUGUUCACAUUCCUCAACCAAUUUUCUUUUUUUGUUUGUUUUAAGCAUUAUUGGCAUAAUUCAGUGUACUGGCAACCAUGUGCAGGGCUUGUAGAUUAUUUCAAUUGGAUCGAUUUUUGACGAGGCAGCAAUGAUGGUGGCUCGACUUGGGUGUGGUCGGCUCGUGAGUGUAGUCGCCUAGUCGGCUUGAUGGGGAACGUGCAUAUUAGGCCAGUUUUGUGGGGGCUGGUGGCGCGAAAGAUUUGCGUCUCCCGUCAAAGUUGGGAUUGGUUAGAUCGGCUUGAUGUGGAGGAGUGGCGGUUCGAUUUUGUAGGGGCUGUUGGUGUGGCGGUAGUGUGGCAGUUGAAUGGUAGUUGUUUUUGUAUAGUGGCGGUGGGUUAGAGUGUGGAAUAGUUUUCCGGUUAAAGCACGUGGCGGUGGUUUGGAUGGGAGUAGACGGCGUCAUUGUUGUUUAGUGAGUGUCCGCAACGGUGGGUCGUCGCCACCGUCAGCCAAAUAAGCCAUAAAAGCCAAUCAAGGUGUUUGGUGCAGUUUGGCCGCGAAACAGAAAAUUUUUUACUUGUCGGUGAGGGUUUAAUUAGUAAUUAUAUCCCCUUUAAAAAAUAUUAGUAACUAUAUCCGAUAAGUAAUUUUAAUAAAAAUUAAAAGAGUGUGGCUAUCAAGGAUGAGUGUCUCAAUACUCAUUCUUGAUAUUUUACAUACGUUCUUGUUCAUAAUUAUUUGAAGGAGUUUUUGUCCCCUUCAUGAAUAAUAAAUAAAAAAUUAAAAUAUUUAAUAAAUAUUAUAAUAAAAAAUUGGGCCAAUAGGAUCAUGUCUAGUAUUUUUAAUGCUCUGAAUAAAAAUUUAAACUACAACCAUUCAAUUAGGUCUAAAAAUUUAAUAAUAUAAACAUUUUGAUAUUUAUUUUUUAAACCAAUAUUUAAUAUUGUACAAUUUAAAUUUUAUUAUUUAUUCACUAAUAAUUUUAAAAAAUAAAACUAAAAUUAAAAAGAAAAAAGAAAAAAAUAUGGAUGGGAUGGGAUUCACUUCAUCGCCGUCCUUUCUCUUAAUAAGAAGUUGGGUAAAAACUAGUUCCAGUCAUUUUCCCUAAUAAGAAAUUAGAUAUAAAAUUAUUCUUAUAUGAUCUCCAAAUGGGAAAAAUCCCCAACGAUCCCCAUUUCCAUAGGAAUUUCUGCCAGUGCCAUUCCUAAGAGCUAUUUGAAUUCAUUAAAUUCUUCUUUACACUUAUUUACUUAGUAAAUCUACUAUUAAAAUCUUAAAAUUAAAUUUUUACCGUAUAAACUUCUUAAUAUCACACAAAUAGUCCUAAUAAUUAUAUAUUAUUGCUGCAUAUUAUUUUACUCUUGAGGUCCACUGAGCCCCUUUCAUGUUUAUCUCUUACUCUUCGUUGUCAUUUUCUCAAUUUCUUUGUAUUUAUGAUUUUAUGUUGCAGAUCUAGUAUAUUGAAAAACCAUCUCUUUGUUUUGAAAUUUGUUUAAUUUUAUGACCCAAAUAUUAGGACCCAAAUACAUAAUCAUUCAUCUAAAAUCUCAAUCAGAUAGGGCAUCUUGCAUCCUUGUUCUAUGGAGGUGUGCUAUCUGAAUUCACUCUUACAAAAUAUUGCUAUUGCAACUGCAGCAAUCUAAAAUCAUUCAUGUAUCACGGUGAAAAAAAAAAUAAUUAUAAACAAAAUAUUUUAUUUAAAGUUGAGGAGAUGGUUACGGUUUAUGGAGGGUGCAAUCAUUUAUGGUGUGUUUACUUCAUGUGAAUAGGAAUGCGUUGGAAUGGGAAUGUGUUGGGAAUAAGAUUUCAUUGUUUACUUAACAAAAUAAAUGGGAAUGAGAAUAUAUUGAAAUGUCAUUGAUGUGUUUACUUGACAAAAUAAAUGAGAAUGAAGAAUGAUAAUGAGAAUCAAAUUACCAAAAUACUCAUAGUAUUAAUAAUUAAUAAAAAUAAUUAAUUUAUCAUUAUUAACAAAUAUUAUCAUUAUUGUUGUUGUUGUUGUUAUUAUUAUUAAUAAUAAAAUAUUAUUACUAUUUUUAUUAAUAUUAUCAUUAUUAACAUUUAUUAUUAUUAUUAAAUUUUAUUAACUUUAUUAUUUUAGCUAUUAUUAAUUAUUUUUAUUUUUAUUAAUAUUAUCAUUAUUAACAAUAAAAUAAUGAUAAAAAUAAUUAAUUUAUCAUUAUUAACAAUAUUAUCAUUAUUAUUGUUGUUGUUAUUAUUAUUAUAUUAUUAAUAAAAAUAAAAAUAAAAAUAAUUAAUAAUAACUAAAAUAAUAAAGUUAAUAAAAUUUAAUAAUGAUUAUUAUUAUUAUUAUUAAUGACAUUUAAAAUAAUAAAAUUAUUUGUAAUUUGAACAAAGGUAAUUUACGAAAUAUGAAAAAAUUAGAAGGAUAUAAAAAUAAAUUUAUGUUUCAUUCUCAUUCCCAACCCCCCAUGAGAAUGAGUUUCUUAUUCUUUAUUUUUAAAUUAUGUGGGACCCACAUAAUUUAUUCUCAUUCCCAAAUUUAAUUUUGUCAAGUUAACAUAACUUUGAUUCCAAUUCCUCUAUUCUCAUUCCUUAUUCUAAGAAGUAAACACACCGUUAGAUAAUUAACUUAUUUAUCAUUUUUAAUAGUUUUACAUUAGACUAUGUUUUGGAAUAUAAUUUUUUAUUAAAAAAUGGAUCUAACAAGAAUUUCUAUGGAUCAAAUAAUAUCACCCAAGUGAAAAUUAUAGAAUAACUAAUGGGGUAAUGGAGUUUUACGAGGCAUGUGGAGGGUUGCAUAUAGCCAUAUAGGCCUAGUCUUGCAUAAGUUUGUGUUGGAUUAGCUUUCCAAAGAUAAAGACAAUAUUUGGUAUAACAACAGUUAGGUGGGGCUAUCUGAACCUAUUAAUUUCUUUUAUAAAUUUAUCUAAAAAAUAUAUAUUUGUUAUUAAAUCUUAAUAUUUUGAAAUUUCAAAGUUAACCCCCCCACUAAUUUCGUCCUUUUUCAAUCUCAUUGCAACCAAAUUUUUCCUAGCAUGGUUGUCUAUAAAUAAAAUAUAAAUAAAACUCUCUUAACUUUAGAUAGAAAUUAAAAUGGAGAUAUUUGUUAAUUUAUAUUAUUUCUUGAGAUAGAAAUUAGGAGGUGUUAGUUUUUCUUUAUGAAAAUUUAGAUGAAAAAAAUGAUUUAUUCUUUAUGGUAUAUGAAGAUUGCUCGCAAAUGUUGAGUUUUGUUCCUUAUUGUUCUUGAUAGAUUAUAACAAUAUCUAUUUGAAUUUUGACCAGUUUGUCUUAUCUCUCAAAACAUCUGCAAUCUAUCACUAAAAAAAAGGGUAAAAAUUGGUGAGAAAUGUAAAGAACUAUACAAAAAGAAAAUAAAGUUAGUUAUAGUAUAGAAAGAGAAAAUGUGGUCAGUUAGAUAAUUUCAUCAAAAAAUUAUUAAUAAUAAAAGAUUAAUUGAAAAGAGCGUAUAAAAAGAAAAUUAACGGUUUCAAAUAACCUUAUCAAAACACCUUAUCCAUAUAGCCUUAAGAGUGUAUAAAAAGAAAAUUAAUGGUUUCAAAUAACCCUAUCAAAGCACCUUAUCCAUAUAGCCUUAUCGUUGUGUCAGUAGAGUUUAGCCACAAAUGAGUUAUUCUUGCUAAAUUCAUCAAAUUUAAGAAUAAUUUAAUAUUAUGAGAAAAAAUAAUAAUAAUGCAACAUAAGUUCAUCAUAAAGUGAUUAAUUUAUUAAUAUUAAAGUGAUUAAUUGGUAUAAGUUGGAAAAUAAAAAUAAUGCAGAAAAUAUGUUAAAAUUUUGUAAUAAUUAGAUAUAAAUGAGAUAAAUGAGAUGAAUGAGAUGUCAUGCAAGAUAAUUUCUUUGAGUGUUUUUUUAAGUUUAAUUUUUUUUUUUAAAAGACUCUUCAGUCUUCACAAUAUAUUAAAGGACUCACCAAUGAUGCCGAGUCAGUUGGUCUCAGUUACUGCACCAGCCACCCUCUACUCACUCACUUUUCUUACAGGAAAAAGCCAAAACAACUCUUAAACUAUCUCCGGCAUGGACAUUGAGAAACCGUCGAAUAAAACCGCCGGGAAACCAAUUCAAUGCAGAGGUAGGUAGCAUUUAUUUAUCAUACUGUACAAAUCUUCUAUUAUCAUUAAAUUAAAGUCAUCAAUAAUUCGCCUUGAGCAUGAAAUGAAUUAUAAUCGUUGACUUUCGCGUCCGCGUCGUAAAAAUCUGUAGCCGCAAUCGCUACAGCUCCAGGAGAGCCUCUGGUUAUAGACGAGGUUAUCGUCGACCCUCCAAAUUCCCACGAAGUUCGGGUUCGGAUAAUCUGUACUAGUCUCUGUCACAGUGACGUCACCUUCUGGAAAAUGAAGGUCUCUUAUCAAAGUCAAACCCUUUUGUAUUAUCUUUAGUUUUAUUUUUUUCUUUAAAAAAAUUAUUUAAUUUAUUUGCUUGUUAUUAUCGUUGUUUUAUUUUUCGUGAAGGAUUUUCCAGCCGUGUUUCCAAGAAUUCUCGGUCACGAGGCUAUCGGGUAAGAAUUAUAUUCUAUCUUUUAUACCUUUGUAAUUUUCUUUUUCCUUGCAUGACGGAUAUGUCUGAUGAAAAACUCAAUCUUGGCUGAUCAUGUGAAUGUGGCUUCAUUAAGCUAGUCAUUAAUUGUUUUGCUUAAUCUAUCCCAAUCUAUUUUUAGUGCUAAUGUUGACGCUGGGUUUUCCAUGGGGCCAACUUGGUUGUUCACGAUGAAUUGAGAGUGUUUGGCCCUUGGCUGACAUGGUCUAAAUAAUUAACAUUGUGUUGCAGAGUUGUGGAGAGUGUUGGGGAGAAUGUAGAUGGAGUGGUUGAAGGAGACGUUGUCAUCCCGCACUUUCUGGCAGAUUGUACAGAAUGUGUAGGUUGUAGAUCAAAGAAGGGCAACCUAUGUUCAGCAUUUCCUUUCAAGAUCUCUCCUUGGAUGCCAAGGGAUCAGACAAGCAGAUUCAAAGACCUCAGAGGAGAGACUAUACACCAUUUUGUCUCUGUUUCAAGUUUUUCUGAGUAUACUGUUCUAGAUAUUGCCCAUGUAGUCAAAGUUGAUCCUACAGUCCCUCCAAAUAGGGCUUGCCUUCUAAGCUGUGGAGUAUCAACAGGUACCAGCCACUGAUUUUGAGGCUAUUAAUUGUCUUGAUUAUAUGCAAUACAAGAUCUCUGUUUUCCACUGGCUUCAGUUCUCUCAGAUCAACUGGAAUUUGGAUUUUAUAGGCGUGGGAGCUGCUUGGAGAACAGCAAAUGUAGAGGUUGGAUCAACUGUUGUUAUAUUUGGGCUUGGUUCAAUUGGAUUAGCGGUAUGAUAUUGUAGAAAAUCGGUUGAGUGUUAUACACUUCCUGUUUGAACUUUCGUAUAUGGUAUACUGCUGAAAUAGGUUCAUAGAUAUCUUUUGGUAUCAGGUUGCAGAGGGAGCGAGAUUAUGUGGUGCUACAAGGAUUAUAGGCGUGGAUGUGAUCUCGGAAAAAUUUGAAAUUGGUGAGUGAAGUUUAUAUGUUGUACGGGCUUAGGUUUGACAGGGAAUAAUCUCCUCAUGUCAUCACAAAUAAAUAAUUGUUUGUGUGGACACAUCAUUAUGAAUCAACUAUUCGAAGUAUUUGAUAGAUACUAAGUUAAACAAUUCUGUUUUAUAGGCUAAUUGAAACUAUGAUUUCUGUGAUUUCUGAUUGAUGUUUAUCCACACAGGAAAAAGGUUUGGAGUUACAGAGUUUGUGAAUUCUAAAAACUGUGGGGAUAAAUCUGUAAGCCAGGUCUUGCUCUCAAUCUAUGAUCUUCCUCUUCUUACUAUUUCUGUUAGUUUCUAAUUUUGAGGUAGAGGAUGCCAUGUCAUGGCAGUUUACAUCCUUUUGGUGAUUUCAGCUUAUGUCUGAAGUGGUUUUUCCAUUAGGUUGUUUUAUCGUUUAAAGAACAAGCAUUUGCAUCUUUGGGGUGUCAACAAACUUGGAUCUUUUGUGUUGAACCUAAGCAUCACAGAGUAGUUAGUAGUUACUAUAUAAUUGAACAAGUUUGGACCUAAGAUACCACUCUUUUGAACCUUUGAGAGCUUAUGACUCCAUAAACUCUACAUAGGAUGACAAUGAAGCAUAAAUAGUGCAUUUUGUGAAAUCUUCUUUAUUUAUUGAUUCAGUUGAUGAGAUAGCCUGUGACUGCUAUCUCAUAUUUCCUUUUGAUUUUAUGCCUUCUCCCUGUGAUACUGCAGUUUAAGUUGUUAAUUCUUAUUACACUGCAAUGUAGAGGGAUAAAUCUUAUACCUCUGCAAUGAGAUGCUAUGAAUUAACCUACACUGCAUUGCAGUGUUAAGAAGGAUUAACCUACACUCCUUUUAAGAUAAUCAGUUACAGGAUAAUGUAUUAACCUUCUCUGCAAAGCAUUGUUGCAAGGAUAAUCAUAAAUCCAUAAAUACUAUUCAAUAUUAUAUUCUAGGUAUGGGAGAUGGAAACUGUUUAAAGCAAACAAUCUAUAUGCAGCACAUUAUGAAGAGUAAUCUCUCUCUUCUUUUUUUUUAAUUUGAUAGAUUAAUCUUUAACUACUAUUUCACUUAGUUUUUUCUUUAAUCAAUUUGAGCAGAUAAUCAUUGACAUGACUGAUGGGGGUGCUGAUUACUGCUUUGAAUGUGUUGGUUUGGCAUCCUUGGUGCAAGAAGCAUAUGCUUGUUGCCGAAAGGUCUGCUUCUAAGUCUCUCACUCUCUCACCCAUAGUGUUGUACAAGCAGAAUUAAUUUGAUUAAACAUAAGCUCAAUGUGACUAGGGUUGGGGGAAAACAAUUGUGUUGGGAGUGGACCAGCCGGGGUCACAGUUGAGCCUGAGCUCUUUUGAGGUCCUUCACAGUGGAAAAAUUCUGAUGGGAUCAUUGUUUGGAGGUCUCAAAGCUAAAUCUGAUAUUCCUAUUCUUUUGAAACGUUACAUGGAUAAGGUAAUUUAACCAUUAAUAUAAUGCUUAUUUACACACACACACACACACACACACACACACUUUUGCGUAGCCUAGCUUCCCAAAGAUCUUAUGUUAUGGUAGGUUAUAUAAUGCUCAUUACUUUUGCAUAUUCUUGCCUUGCCUAGCUCACAAAAGAAUCUUAAGUUCUAACUCUAUGGCAAUAAAUUAAUAAUGGUAGUUUUAUAAUGUGGUUCUAGACUUCUGUAUGCUCUCUUCUAGGCUUCACGAUUAUAGACUAAAUCGUAUGGUGACAUAUUAUUGCCAGCACAUCUUUGAUAAUACUAGUAGUGGUCUUAUGUUCCUUUUUCAGGAACUAGAGCUGGAUAAGUUUGUCACUCAUGAGAUGAAGUUUGAAGAAAUCAAUAGCGCGUUUGAUUUACUUAUAAAAGGAAAGUGUCUCCGUUGUGUGAUAUGGAUGGGCGAAUAAGAUUUCUUGCAUUAUUUUCUUGUAUGUACUUUCUCCAAUAAUUACCUCUCAUAUCUAAGCAAAUUGACCAACCAUUUGUGAUGGACCAUGUGUAUAUGAUACAAGAUUCGUUGGUUGAAUAAGUGACUUCUGAAAAAUUUUAAAUUUGAAGAAUCUUUUUUACCUUAUGACCAAGAGCAAUUUAAUUAUGUUAGGGCUUACCAGCUUUGUAUCUAGAGAUAGAAUGCGUUUGGUAUCAAGCAGAAUUAUAUGCCUCUUUUCUUAUAAUGGAUUCGUAUUCUGGGUAAAACUGCGCUAUUUUAUUGACCUUACAGAAAGUAUAUCAUUGAUCAGUUUCCUCGAUCCUCAACCUCUCAGCAUUUGAAUUGGAAGAAUCGCUGGCUGCACUAAUAUCAUCUGGAUACCUGUUAGGGAGCUUUUCUGUUAGUCCAUUUAACAAGUAGCAAUGAACGAUUUAAGUCACACGACAAAUUGCUUCUAGCACAUUUAUUUGGGAGCACUUGGCUAGGUAUCGUUAACGGGAACAUCAAAUUGAAUUUAUUACGUGAAAAACUUUUUUCUUUCAUUAUCAUAAUAAUUGCGAUAAUAUUGAUCGACCCAAAAAUAGAAAAUAGUUAAUGGGAACAUCAAGUAGAAUUUAUUACGUGAAAAACUUUUUUCUUUCAUUAUCGUAAUAAUUGCCAUAAUAUUCACCGACCCAAAAAUAAACAAAUAGGUGAGUGACAUAUUUGAGUUUCAAUUUGAAUCAUAAUAUUAUGUAUCAUUCAUCUAUCGUAUGAUAAAUAUAAAAUAACUUAAUAUCUUAUUUUAUUAUUUAAUAAAUAAAUAUUACAUUAAUUGAAAUUUAAGUUAACACUCAAAUGUUAGAAUUCUUAACAUUACCUUAUUAGAAAUAAGCAUAUAAUCUAUUGAUAUCAUACGGUAAAUUUUAAAUUUCAAAACCGGAAGUUUUAAAUGGAAUGAAUGCACCACGUCAUGAAAUAUAAAUAUGUGUUCAAAAUAAUUCAUUAUAUGGAAAUUUGCAAACUAUAAGAUUGUGUUAGGUGGACAUUAGAAUGAUACAGAAUGCUGAUUUAAAUGGAAACUAAAAAAACCCACCACGUCACCAGAUCUGAUGAAUAAUUUGUAACGGAUAAAACCUUUAAAUGGAAACUUGCAAGUGAUAGCCAUUCCCGCUUUCACUUUCUCGCAAUGCUCUCAAUAUCAUUGUUCAGUUCAGUGGCAUGGAUAUUGAUAUCGAGAAGAAACCGUCGAGUAAAAUCGCCGGGAAACCAAUUCGAUUACAGAGGCAGUGAUUGCAAACAAAUAUAAAGAUAAUAAUUAAUAUUUUCAUUUUCUCAAAAGUCAUCCGUAUUUCUCGUCCUGGUCUUGAAAAUCUGCGGCCGCAAUUGCUAGAGCGGCAGGGGGCAGGAGAGCCUCUUGAUGUAUAGAAGAGGUUAUUGUGGACGCUCCAAAAACACACGAAGUUCGACUACGGAUCACCUGUACGAGCGACAUCACAUUCUGGAAAAUGUAGGUCUCUAAUAUAUAUCUUACAACUAUUAUCUUCAAUUUGCUGAAAUAAAUUUAAGCUUUAUGCUAUGAUCUUACAAAUCCGUUCAACACGUCAUACGGGAGAAAGGCAGGAUUUUACCUUGGUUGGCCAUGAAAUGGACGCGCUGCUCAGCUUGUUUAUGGCCCGUGAAUUCAGCCUUCUGUUCUUCUAAUUUGUAGCAAGUCUUGGCUUCAAUCGCAGCUGCAAAAUCAAGCUACUCAUUCACUGUACAUACACGCACGGUGGGAGAGAGAGGAGAAAAGAUGCACUGCACUUUUUCCUUAAUAUCAAUCUUGAACAGUGAAUUCCCUUAAAUAUUGUGGGGGCGUUCAUGAGUUGAUACAAAAUUGUUCAUCUCAUUACAAACUAAAAUAAUAUAAUUAAAGGUUAUAUUUAUUUAUAAUAUGCGAUUAUAAAGGAUGUAAUAAAAUUAGACUGGUAAACACAAUAUAUAAUCACUUUAUAAAUGAGUGUAUAAAAAUUACUCCUUAUUAUUUGACAUCAGUCAUAUAUUAAUUUGAUAGAAUAAAAAACAAUUAGAAUAAUUUAUACUAGUCCACAAUAUGUUAUAAAUAAAUCCAAGAUAAUUAUGUCACAUUUUAUUUAUAUUAUUUUAUUUUGUUGUUAAUAUAUACUGUAUAUUGGUUUUAUCUUUCUUCAUGGAAUUUCGGUUGUUUUUCCAAAAAUUCUAUGGUCACAAGGCUAUCAAGUAAGAAAUAAUAUAUUGUCGAGUGUUCUACCUUUCAACCUACCAUUUUUAUGAAAAAAAUAGAAUUAUCAAGUAAAAGUUUAUAAUUUACAAUGAAUAUGACUCUUAAAUAAUAAUUUUGAUAAAAAUAAUAAAAAUAUCAUAGGUUUUUCAUUAUAUAAAUAGUGGAUCAAAUCAACUUAACUUUCAGGUUAUAACUGCUAAUGUUUACCGAUAACUUUAAUGUUAUAUCUUUUAACCUAUAAUUAUCCAAUCUCAACAAAUAAAGGUCAUAGUGAACCGCGUUAUUUAAGAUAUUGCAACCAUCCAUAUUAAUCAAGUAGAAAUUAAAUUGAAUUAGUAUCACUAUCACUAUCUAUUGUCAGUGCUAAUAACGCAAGAAAUUUAAUAUUAGCUGCUAGAAUCAUGAUAACGAGAGAGUUUGCCAGGGGACGAAUAAUUAACAAUAAUAGUACGUAUGCAGAAUUGUGAAGAGUGUUAGGGAGAAUGAGGACGAAAUAGGAGAGGGAGAUAUUGUCAUCCCACACUUUGUAGCAGAUUCGACCGAACGUGUAGACUGUAGAUCAAAGAAGAGCAACCUAUGUUCAUCAUUCCCCUUCGAGAUCUCUUCUUGGAGGAUGCCGAGAGAUAGGACAAACAGGUUCAAAGACCUAAGUGGAGAGACCAGACACCAUUUUCUGUCUCUUUGAAGUUUUUCCAGGGUACCCUGCUGUAGACGUUGCCCAUCUACUCAAAGUUGAUUCUACUGUCCUCCAAAUAGGGCACGCCUUCUAAGCUUUGAUGUGUCAACAAGAAGCAGUCAUUCAGUUUGUUCUGUAUCACUUGCUUUUUAAUUUGGUUGAAUUCGACAAUUCCAACAACUCCUAUUUCGAUUUUUACAGGCUUGGAAAACAGCAUAUGUGGAGGCUGGAUCAACCGCUAUUAUAGUUGGCCUUAUCUUGUACGGUACACAUUAAUUUGUUUGGUUGAGUAAGUGUUAUGUGAUAUAAUUGCUAAAAUAUAUAUGCUCAUAGUCAUAGAUAUAGAUAAUACAUUUUUGUUAUAAUAUAGAGGUUGCAAAGGUUGCAAGACUGUGCGGUGGCACAAGGAUUACAGAUGUGGAUGUGAAUCAAGAGAAAUUUGAAAUUGGUGAGUGAGAUUCUAAUGAUAUACAGUAUUUGGCAUUGGUUUGUCAGGGGAUAAUGGACACAACAUCGUGAGAUCAACCAUUCCAAGCUUUUGAUGUGUGGGCACCAGUUCUAUUUUUAUAGGCCACCGGAAACCAUGAAUUCUGAUUGAUAUUCAUCCACCUACAACAAAAAAAAAAGCUCGGAGUAACAGAGUUUGUAAAUUCUAAAAACAGUGGGGAUAAAUCGGUAGGUGACGUCUUGCCCUCUCAAUCGAUUAUCAUACUCUCUGGCUGUAAUAUUUUAAUUCUAUAAUGACUAAGGGCGUAGCCAGCAUAGGACCAGGUGGGGCACAUGCCCCAACUGGCUUUUAAAAUUUUUUUUUAUUGGUUUUCUGAAAAAAAAAAUCUAUAUUUUAUUUAUUAUUUAUAAAAAUACCUCAGGUGAAUUGCGAAACUUUGAAAAUGCCACAUGUAAUUUUAAAAAAAUUUUAUAUUGCCCCCAACUUAAAUGCCAAAUUCUAAAUAAUUUGAUUAGCUAUUAUAAUUUCAUAAAAAAUAAUAAAGACAAACAAGAGAACCAUUUAUCAAAUGAAAUCCAUUAAAAAAUCAAUUAAAAUAAGUGAAAUCUAAACUUUACUCUUUUUUUUCCGUCUCUUCCAUGGAAUAAAGUGUGGUGGGUGGACUCCAUAGCAGUCAUCACCAUGUGCGUGGAUUUCUUCUCACUUUUCUUCUUACUUCAAGAGUUAAACAUUCAUUUUAAUAAGGUAAACACUGAAUUACUUUGUUGCUUGGCUUGUUUAUGUCCAAAAGAUUCAUUUGCAGCUUUUAAUAAAAAAAAGUUAUUGCGCCUUGCUCAACUUUAUCCAAGAGAUUUUUCUCCAGUUGAUCUCAUGGCACUAGAUAUUCAACUUGAUGUUUACAUAAUGGAUAUGCAAUCUAGUGUUGAGUUUUCAGGAUUAAAUGGGAUUAGCAAUCUUGCACAAAAAAUGGUUAAGACUAACAAGCACAAGAUGUUUUCAUUGGUCAAUUUAUCAGUCACAUUAUCAUUACUUUUACCAAUUGCCACCGCUACUGUUGAAAAAGUUUUUUCAACUAUAAAUUAUGUAAAGAAUCGACAACGCAAUUAAAUGAAAGAUAAAUGGUUGAAUGAAUGAUAAUCUGGCAGUAUACAUUGAAAAAGAUUUAUUUGAUUGCAUUGAUAAUGAAACUAUUUUACAACAUUUUCAACACAUGAAAUCCCAUCAAAGAAUUAUCGAUUAGAACAAUUGUAAUAAGUAAAUUUAUUAUUAAUUUAUAUUAUAGUUGUGAUUGUAUUUACUGUAAUCUAAAUUUUCAAAAUUUAUUAUCAAUUUAUAUUAUAUUGCGAUUCUAUAUGUUGUAAUAUAAUUUUCAAAAUUAUACUACAUUUUUAGUGUGCCCCCAGAUCAAUUAAAUUCCUGGCUACGUACCUAUGACUAACUACUAAGCUUUAAUAUUUACUCGGUCGUGUCUUUAUGACCAAUUUGAGCAGGUAAUCAUGGAGACGAGUAAUGGGGUUGCUGAUUGCUGCUCUGAAUGCGUUGGUUUAGCAUCCUUGAUGCAAGAAGCAUAUGUGGAUCGUUGCUCCAACGGCGUAAAGACACUUCUGGAGAAAUAUCGCUUAUGUUGUUUCCCUCGGUCGACCAAGCUGGCGUGUUAUCUUCUGCUUUCUCAGAGAAUUCCCAACAAUCAUCACCAGCAUCCAAAGCUGCUGAAUCUGCUUCUACACAUGAAUAGAUAGGUAUUCACACAAAAGGAACUUAUGAACAGAAAAAUCUAUUGUACACUUUCAUUCUACAGUAGCGCAAUUUCAAGAAUAUCCUUAGUAGAAUGCUAAAUCAAAUUAAGCUAGUAGAAAGUAAAGCUUCAAACUAAUUGACAUAAUUAAUCAAUUAAUUACAAAGAGCCCCAUUUGUUGUUUCAUUUAUCAAAUGAAUUUGAAUCCAUUACCGGUCUCUUAUAUAUAAUUUUUAGUGAGAAAAAUAAAAAUAAAAAAUAGAAUUCGCAAACCAGAAGGUGAGCUGAAAAAAUGACGGCGAAAAGCAGUAAACUGAGCAAAGACAUUAGCAGCGUCAAGAUAAUCGCCAGCUGAAAUCCAAACCGAAACCGCCGCGCUGCGAGCAAAACCCAAAACCUCUCGAGGCCGAAACAAAUCGGAACGACGCCGUUCUUCCAAGCUCGACAAAACAUUUUUGCCGGACAACUUCAGGGCGUGAUUCAGCAAGUCGUCGUUCGUGCACUUGCGGACGAGGGAUUUGAAAUUGGGCUCGAAAGAAACCACUUCCGAUUCGAUGAAAUAUCGACAGCGAGGGCAGUUUUGAGAAUUAAUAUUAUUAUUGUUGUUGUUGUUCGAGGAGAAGGAGACUAAGAUGCCGAGAGAGUCUUGCCUGAUAACAACACCCGGCCACCAUUGCUGAGGAUACACUAUUCUUGACCACACUAUCUCUCCCCUCUCAAUUUUUGAAUUUCGCUCCUCCUUCUCCAUUUUAAUAACAGCCAUCAGCUUCCCUUUUACGAUUCCAUUCUCUUGCGCAGAUUGAUGUCCAGAGAAGUUUGGGGGGCCACUCACCAGUUUCAUCAAUAAAAAGUUAUUUUCUUAUUAUUGUUGAUCACCAUAUUAUUUCUAUAUAUUUUGGUUAUAUCAUCUUCAUUGUACGUAUGAUGUGUCUCUUAUAUUUCCAAAAUUUAAUGUGAAAAAAAUAUUAAUCGGCCAAUAUGUUUUUAUUAUGAUGGUGGGAUCGAUUAGAUUUAUGAAGAUUAAUUAUUUUUUUUCAAUCGUGCGGCAUUUUCCUACUAAGGUUUUAGAUUUUUAUUAGGUUUGGUAUGCCAAUGCCAUUAUGCAUAUGACUAGAUUGAGAUAGUCUAAUAUUUAGUAUUGUCUCGUAUUUAGUGUAUAGUUAGUAAUAUGGAUGGACAAAUUAAUAAAUUUAUCAGCCUGCCUAAUCAUUAGUAAUUGUAUUAAGUCAUGCAUUAGCAUACAAGAUGCCUAAUUUAAUACAAGUGAGGUUUGCCGUUGGGCAGCUUCAUAUUAUUUAAUUUUCUUGUACAAGAAAGUAGAAUAAUCACCCAUGCGGAAGCCCAUGCGUGUUCUAUGUAUUAUGGUAGCUAGCUUUAUAUUGUGACUCUACGCAGUCCUCAAUUUAUAUUAAUCAUCCAGUGCUGCCAAAAUAUUAAAUACAAAUGAUGUUUGGCGUUCGGCAGCUUCAUAUUAUUUAAUUUUCUUAUUCAAGAAAGUAGAACAGUCAGUCACCCAUGUAUGUAUAUAUAAAAUCUCCUAUGAGACUGUAAACGCACUAGAUGCACCCGUGAAGUAGUGAUUUGUAGAAUUAACUGCUUUCUUAGAUGACCCAAAAUGCCGUAGCCGAUAAACUCCGGGGAUAGCCUUCGUCGGCACUUCCCAUUCAAUGGUUGCUAAGCCAUGGAAACUAGUAUUCUCCAAACUCCACUUGAAAUACAGGGAGAAAUCGUCAUCGUCAUAAACCGGAAUCCAUCGCUUCCCCUGAAGCAUUUCAACCACAGCAUAUGUUCCUUCUGUUAACAGAUCAUACCUAGGGUUGGCACUCCAAAAUGUGGCACUUGGUCUAUCGCCCUUGUUAAAUGAACCGUCUUUUGGUUGAUUGAUAUCUUCCUUUAUGUCACCAAACAUUUUGCCUGCCGGAGGCGAGUCUCCGGUUGGGUUUAGUGAAAGGCUGAGUUGCACGGAUGAAAGAUCCGGUGGCGAAGGACCCUUCGUGGUUUUUUCUCCUUUUGCCAUUGCUUGUGCUAAUUUUUUGAAUUCUUGAAUGUAUGCUGGCAAUGUGUGGGGUCCGUAAAGCGUUGACGCAGCCUGCAGCACAUAUCAUUUUGGCAUCGAUCGAUGUGAUUAGAAUAGAAUUUCUUCCGUCAAAUCCUAAAAGAUUUUUCUUAUUUAAUUUAUUUUAAUUUGGAAUAAGUACCUCAUAUCGUUGAUGUGCGUAUUCUUCGAAUGUUGCAAUGUAUUGUGAAUAAGCGUUUGUAAGUCCUGCUAUUACGAUGUGGGUGUCAUUAUCAAAUUCCCCAUUUCCAUUAUUUAUUAGAGUGUCCUUAACUGCUUCCCGUAAUCUUCGACCCGCCAUUGUUGUAAACUCUGCACUUUCAAAUAGUUAAAUCUUGCCCCACAACAGAAUAUUAAUCACAGUUUCUUUGAAGCUAAACUAUACUUGUUAUUAAAAGAAAAAGUUUAACCCAUUUACUAAAAGCAAAGCUAUACAUACACCAUUUUGAUAAAUAGAGAAGGAAUUUGCGUAUAACUGAGCUAACCUCCCGGUACAGAAAGUAUGAUAAGCUUUCCCAACCUCAGAAUUUGAAUUGGGAGAACCGCUGGCUGCAUUGAUAUCAGAAAUAUGAUUAUCAGAAAAUGUUCUUUUAAGCUGCCAAAUUGCUGUCUAAUAACUUUAUUUUCUUUUGGCUCGGAGUUUCCAAGAUUAGCAAAUUCAUGCACAAGAAAAAUUCAGCACGUUACCGCCCAUGCAUAAGGUUCAAACAUUUCGCCGGAGGAUAGCAGAACAGCCUUUGGCUUUUGACAUUCCUCCUGAUACUGGCUUGGCUUUUUCAAUACGUCCCUCAACUGUUUCCACAGUUUAUUGAUCUAAAAACAUUAAAUAACGAGACAAAAAAAUCACGGGUUUAAAUACCUUGUUCAUUUAACCAAAAAGAAAAAGAUCUAUUGACAAUCAAAUGCCUGAAUCGGUGAGCCCUGACCUCUGUAUCACCUUGUUGAAAACCAAACACACCAGGUCCAUCUGUAGUUCCGGCGGCGAACCCUGGGCCUAGGGCUGCAGGGCAAGUCUUGACUGUGUUGUUUCCUGUUCCAUCCAAUACAACCUCAAUAUUUGUGAAGUUUAUGUAGACAUGACGAUAAUCAAUCUUUCCGCUCAAUUGAUCGGUUGCAGAAUUGAAUAAAUCAACAGCCUUUUGGAAUUGCCUUUCUCCUAUUAUCUUUGUGCUUAAUAUUUCGUCUGGAUACCUGUUAAAAUAGUUACAGAUUAGUUUAACAUGUUGAGCAAAAAAUUCAUUAGUUUCUUUGAAUGAAUUGAUAUAUUAGUACCCAGGUCCACGGCCUAUGCAGAGCUGGUCAUCGCCAUGACAUGAUGAGUGAUUGAAGUCACAAGGCUUUCCACUAUCAAUGCAAAAUGCUCCUAGCACAUUUGGGGUCACAUCUCCAACAUUUGAUUGGCAAAACGCUCCCACAAAUAGCGAUCCAUCGUUCUUCCUCACUUUGAAUCCUUGGCUUGUUGUUUUUCCACAUUGCUGUCCUCCAGUGGCCUUGAUUGUUUUCGAUUUCUCCAUCAAUUUGCCAAUAUCUAUUUCAAAUGAAUACUGCACAUGAGUUAAAUCUCGCAGUGAUCAUGGAAUCCUAAUUUGAACAAAAAUGAAAUCAAGAUUUUUCUUGCAACAUGGACAUCUAUUCAUCUAGUUGGAAGCUGCCGUUUCAGCUACAAAUUUUGAAUGCCCAAGGUGUUUGAUAUGUAUUGUUAACAAUAACCGAAUGGGUUAAAAGUUACAGCACCCUAUCCCGACCCGAACGGCUCUUCUGUGUUAAAACAACUUACCCGAUGAGGUAGAAAACUUACUGGUUGUUGUGGAGGAAGAUUCGUUUUUGGAACUGAACCAGUCUUCAAAGAACCUGGCAGCAGCGCCCUUGUUGUCUCCGCUGAUGAGCAAAUUGUCUCUGGACAUAGAGGUGCCGUGUGUAGCAUACCAAUUGAAGGCUCCUAUGCUCUUCCCGCUUGCUGCAUCAACAAAUUUCAGAAGGGUCAUUUCUUUGUCAACGUUUUCUGGGUAUCGAGCCCUCUCCUCCGCUGGAUUAAGCAGAUAUGCACUUGGACUCCUGUUUAUUCCAGCAUUUUCUACGUCCCCUGAAGCAUAAACAAGACAAAUGACAUGGAAAUCAUUUUGUUAAUUUGCUUAAGGAUAUCGAUUCAAUGCAUGCGCAAACAGCUUCAAAACUGAACACGGACCUUUUCUAAUGAAAAUUGAACCAGGCUUUAAAUUGUUGUGAGCCUGAACAAUGCUCUGGACAAUUGCGGUGACAAUGGCAUCAAACGAUUGUUGGACAAAUCCUAGAGACGUGAUAGAGUAAAUCAAGUACUGCAAGUAACCCCCAGGUCCGGCAUGAGUAUGGAUUCCACUGAUUGCUAUGUUCUCUUCAGUAUACAAAUUUCCAAACCUUCGAAACGAGUAACAUUAUAUGAGAUCACCAAUUAAGCAAAUUCUGACAUCUUAAGGUGCUUUUUAAGUUUCGCUUGGCUUAUUUACUGUACCUUGUUUUAAGUUUCUCUAGCACUUUAGUAGUAACAAGUUGUGAAGCCAUGCCGGCAUCAAGAUUCACAAAAGCAAAUCUUGUUCCGUUGGAACUCUCGGCCACAAUGAAAGUUCUAGCUCUAAGACGGAAAUGAAUCCCUGCAGUAUUUUGGAAAAGAUUGGCAUAACCCAUCAUGUUUAUUCCAGCAGCGGGACCUGUCAUGUCAUAGCUCCCUACUCCGACCAAAUACUGACCAUCUGCACUUCUUAUUAGAGCAAAACCAAAAACGAUAGCAAUAAUAAGUGACAGAAAAUACAAGUGUUGGUUUAUUUUGCUAACCAUAAUUUCUUUGUGGGACCUGGAUUGUAAAAUCCGGUAGUCAUGAAGUUGUUGUAUAUAAAGAUACGGAGUAUGGAAUUUCUUGGACUUGUUGACACAAAACGUUUCUUAGUAUGUCGUGAUUAGAUUCUUCGUCUUAUUGUCAACGCCUCACUUGAAAAAUAGAUUGUUCGCUUACUUUGUCUAAGAUGUCCCGAGGUUGAGUUGGCACCAAAGAAUCUCUUCUUGGGUUGCUCCGCACGCGGAGAGUGACGAGGCCCGUUCUUGUCUAUCAUCGGGUAUUUAUUAUUCUGUUUACAUGCUUUAUCUGAAUCAUAUAAUAUGAUCAUAGUGCUUUACAUUCAAUUCAAUGUUUUAUUGCUAAUGUACAAAAUUGAUGGGUUUCGCAAUUAAGUAAUAUGCUAUUGGAUCAUCUCAAUAGCGAAUUAAUGGACAUGGGACUAGUCCAGAUUCCAAUUUGUACUCCUUAAUGGGUCUCGUUAUCUAGUGCCAACAUACUAUUACUUCUUCUCAGCAUGCAUCAAAAAACUAAUAAAUUCUGUCGUGUAUUUAUUUGGGUUGAAAUCUGCCAAAUAAUUACAGCCGGUUCCUUCUAAAAAAAAAAAAAAAGAAAGCUGGUUGCUAUAUAUAUUAAGUGAAUAAAUAUUGUCAUCAUCUACCCGUUGAUUGUAUCACCUUCUUCCUACAAUUAUAGACUUUUUGAACGCAAUGACUUAGAACUAGAGCUGGCAAAAUUUGACACGACCCGAUUACCCGACACGAACACGACAUAAAUAAAUGGGUAUGGGUCAUCAAAUUUAACACGAUUAUUAAAUGAGUUGGGUCCGGGUCAACACGAUUUUUUUCCGUGUCGGGUUUGGGUUAAAAUUCUUGACCCAUUUACCCGAUCAAUGACCCGAUUAUAUUUUCUAUUUUAAAAUAAUUUACAUAUUCUUAUAAUUAAAACUCAAAUAUUAGAGAUGAUUUUCUUUUUUUUUAUUCUUUAAAAGGGUGAAUAUAAACACAAUGUUUUAUUUAUAAAAUUUUACAUACAUUUAGAGCUUCAAUAGUGUAAAUGUGUAAAAAUUGAUAGACAUGUAUAUUUUAUAAUAUUGAUAUAUAAUAUUAUUGAUAUAUAAUAUUAUAUAUAUAUAAUUAAAACCUCAAUAGUAUACAUGUGUAAUAUAUUGGUAGAUAUGUAUAUUUUAUAAUAUCGAUAAAUUAUGUAUGUAUGUAUUUAUGUACAUACGUAUGUAUGAUAGUGUGUAAAUAUUUGAUGUAACUUUUGUUCAAUAUAUAAAUAUUAAACGGGUUAUUGGGUAAUCCGAUUAUUUUUUCGUGUCGGGUUUGAGUCUCAAUAUUUUGACAUGAUUAUUAAAUAGGUCGGGUUUGGGUCGACCUAAAUUUGACACGACACAAAACUGACACGACACGAACACGACUCGAUGAUCCAUUUUGCCAGCUCUACUUAGAACCACCCAACUCGCGUUAAUCAUUUAGUCAUGGACAAUUACAUGGGUUUAAUUUAAAACCGAUUGGGCGAUAAUUUGUUACCUAAUGUCAGAAAUAGCAAAACGACAAGGAAUUAGACCUCAAAAAAGAAAAAGAAAAAGAAAAAUCAUAUAUCGUCCGCACAAAACUUAAGAAAGAAGUUUUUGGGGACAGCUCACGAUUUGGACUUAUAACUUCUGUUCUUCUCAUUUAAAUAUGCAGAUGAAAUGAUAGAUGAAUCGUCUUUUCAAAAUUAGAGCCUGAUUCAAAUUAUUCCACUUAUAACGAAGACGCUAGAGAUCUAAAGAGUUACACGUCCAGAGUCUGCAUGGACCCGCUAUUACACCUGGCCAUAUUCAUCGUUCAUCAGUCGAGUGGCCUUUCAAUUAAGAUUCUCAAAAAUUUAAGGCCGUCUAUUUAUUUUCACUUCAUAACUGUGUCACUCAUUUAAUAAAAUUUAAUAUUUUCUCUCUAUAAUUUUUAACAUAAUUUUACAAAAUCAAUAGUUUUACAUGCUUAAUUUUUUAAUCAAUUUUAUUUUUAAAUAUAAAUAAAUGAUAUUUAAGAUAAGAAAAUAUAAGACAAAUCUAUUGAUUAAGAUAUAUAAACAAUAUAAGAUAAUUAAUUAUGUCAAAAAUAAAUAAUCAUAUUUGAAAUUCAAAACUUAAUUCUAGUACAGUGAUUAAUAAGAUUAACAUGAACCAACUUAUCCAGUAAUUGUAUAAAUUUAAUCAUCAAAACUCAGAUCUAUGAAUCGUGUCAGAUUUUGCAACGUCAGACUUAUGAGUAUUCUGGGCUCUUCCCAGGGUCCACGUCUACAAAGGUCCACAAUUUACGUGCAUGAUGUCGACUUAUCCGCAAUCAGUGUUUUUCAUAACUUUAAUAUAGAUGACUGCUGUACCGUACAUCCGCCUUGGCCGUACAGCAGUUUAUAGCAAUCAAAGCAUCAUUACAAUUUACAAGCACGCAGGUGGUACCCAGCGUUCACACCAAAGUUUACCAAAACUCAUACAGCAAUGAAACUAUUUCACGUUAUUCAUCCAAGUACAUAAACAGCACUUAUACAUUAAGCAUAAAAUCAAAUGGUAAUAAAGGCAAAUUUAAAAAAAAAAAAAAAAGCAUUACAAAGGAGAAAGAACUGAACAAACCACACAAACAGGAGACCGGCAAAAACAGUAAUUGUAUCAAACACAUUACAAAUUUAAUCUUCUUAAUUAAUGGGCAGCAGUUUCUUUGUCCUUAUCCUUUUCGUCCUCAGACUUUGGGUGGUAGCCAGGGAGCUUCUCCUUGAGUUUCUCCAAUAUGCCCUUCUUCUCCUUGGCCUCUGCCUCAGGAGCCUCGACUGAUGUGGGGUGCUCAGCAGCAGGAGGAGAAGGGACCUGAUGAUCUUCAGGUUUCUUUUGCUGUCCUGGUAGUUUCUCCUUGAUCUUGUUGAGAAAUCCUUUCUUUUCUUCAGGAUGGGCUUCUUCCUGGUGGUGGGGAGCAUGGACAUCAUCAAGUUUCUCGACAGGGACUGUCGUGUCCUCUUCUUUCUCACCUGAUAUUUUCUCCUUGAGCUUCUCCUUCAGUCCCUUCUUUUCCUUCUUCUUCUUCUUCUUUUCCUCAUCAUCGCCCUCCUCCUCAUCGCUUGACUGCACACACACACACACACACACACACCAAAAAAACAAUUUAAAAUACGAUACUUAGGAUCAUUCGUUCAGAUUGUUUUUAUUUUUUUAUCAUAAAUUAAGAUGAUUAACAAAUGAAGAAACAGAAACUUACAGAGCUAGAGCUGCUGGUGGAUCGGUGAAGUUUGUCUAAGAAACCGGGCUUCUUCUCUUCCUCUUUCUCCUCCUUCCUGUGUUCCUCUACCUUUGGCUGAGGCUCAGAGACAUGAACUUUCUCAAACUCGGUGGCGAUCACCUCCUGAUCGUGAUGUUGAGGUUUCUCCUCUUCUUUCUUCCCCAAGAAAUCAAGCAUCCCGCGAUCCUUGGUCUCCACUGCACCUUCCGUCCCAACACUCGGCUCGUACUCAUGGCUCUUCUGCUGCUUCUUGAUCUCUUCAGCCAUACUUGUCAAUUAUCACUCACAAACAACAAUUUUUAACAACAGAUCAACGGACAAGAACACAGAGAUAUGUGGUAUGUGCAAUAAAGUAAGUUUUCGAGCUUCUUUAAGGAAUUUUUGCUUACUUAAGACACAGAGUACGUGUGCUUUUAUAGUGUCACACCACGCGGAUCUGACGCGAUUAAGAGAAUAUAAAAGCCCAUUUGGAUUAGCCAAUCACAACUAGCUCCAGUGACCGACGUGUACCUUAAGACAAAGCAGAAAACAACCAAUCCACUCUCUCGAAUAACUUAAAAACCAUUACUCGCUUUCUCUUAUUGACAGCUGUCUAUCGCUGAACGUGUCGAAUCCUUAAGGCGAGUGGAGGGGCUUGAAAAGAGGAGAACGGCGAUUUAACGGACAAAAGAAGAAAGUAGAAAAAUGGAGAGGGAGACACGCUGUACCGUAAUGGUGGUGCUGGGAUACGACCGAAAGAAGAGGUGCCACGUGUAAGAAGAACGUGAAUGGUUGUCCUCGGUGGGACCCGAAAGUGUCGGUCUUUGAGAGGAUAAAUUAGCGAAAGGUCGGUGUGGAGGCCCAGCUAAUACUUUCAGGUGGGGGCCACGUGGCAGUUGCGUCUAUGUGAAGAAGUGUGGGAGUUUCGAGAUUUGCGCGACUGCUUACUGGUUGGUGUUCUACUUUCCUGCGCAAAUUCAUUUUAUAACUGGGCUGAGUUAAGUUGAUGCUUUCAAACGUUGCACCUUACCAAGGAGCGUUUGCUUUGGGGUUGCUUGCGGACAUUUGGCCGGUUAAGAUGUCGCUAAUUCCUUUCUAAAGUAGAAAAAAUUAUUUUCACAAUAGUACCAUUUUGUGUGGCCUUUUGUGCCCGUAUUUGAACGCUAGCACGUGACUGGUUCUAAUUGUCUGCUACUGUGAAACUAGGUAAAUCAUUCAUUUUAUAUUGGGGAAUAAACUUAAUCAUCUAGUAGAUAGCGAAUGUCAUUAGUAGCCAAUUCGUAAUGAGCUACGUAAAGGCAGGCGGGUGUGAGUUUCUCAUUUAUUUUUCUUUAGUGUAUGGGGUAACUGUCAGAGCCAGAGGGAGCUUUAUUCAUAUUCGACAAAAGUAUUCUGACACUGUUGAAGAGUCGUUCCCUACUUCCCUUACUCCCCCACUGAAGGAGGGCCACGGAAUUACACCGCCCACAUCCCAAGUUCUGACGAACUACUCUUGAGACAUGGGGAAGUUUGGGUUAGACUAGUUAUGUCUAAAGCCCAUUUUGUGCCUAGUUUAGUAUCAUGGUUUUCGGAGUUGGGUUUGCAUUCGUUUUCAAGUCUGUUUGUACUUGCGUUGGCGGAGACAUUUUAGGGGGGAGAAGAGUUUCUGUUAUGCAUGCAAUUCAAGGGGGGGUUUUGAACGAAUAAAGUUAAGAGGAUACAAAGGAAUUUUGAAAGUGGAAACCUCACUUGAGGAGAUUAUUAGGAUGGUCAAAUUGAAAGCAGCUUCAUUUCAUGACUUACAGUUACAACAAUGAUGUAGUUAAUUAAAAAGACAAAUACUUGCAAUGAAAUCAAAUCACGUUCAAAAUUCAAAUCCAAUAUCUCUAGUCCUGUGAAUCUGCAAGUAUCCACAAAAUUGAAUUUUGGCUUUCUCCAUCUUAAAUUUAAUGAAUCAAGAGAGGAAAAAAUGUGGGAAGCUAGAGAGUCAACUACUUCUACCUAUUUCUCAAAGCAAAUGAAAAAUCUUAUCUUUUCCGUGCCCAGAGUCUUUUCAAACCCCGUCAUUUAGGCUGAAUCUAGUUGCUUUAAUUCUUGUAAUAAGAGACUCCGUAGCAUUACAUACACCUCUCCUCGCAACCAACUUCACCCUGAAGUUAUCAUGUAACAUUUUCAUCCUGUUACCAUCACCAUCUAACUCACGCAGCUGAACGGCCUGCUUCCUUGUUACCAAACCAUAGAGACAGAGAUGACCAGAAUCAAAAUUUUCACCUUGGAAUUUGACCCUUAACAAGGCAUCAGAUUCUAGAUCAAUAGACUUUGGAUCAAACAACGCAGAGAAGCUCCCAAACGUCAGGUCAGGGGUCUCAAACAACUUAUCCAAAUUACCAUUGUCCUCACUCUCAUUAUAUGCUUUAUUAGUUAGAGCCAAUGACCUCCUUUUGGCCACUCUAAGUAUGCUAGCAGCCUCUCUCAUCCCACUUAAAAAGGCUCCAUGCAUUGUCGCCGGAUAUUGUUUAUUAGUUGCUUCCCCUGCAAAGAAAACUCUCCCAUCCCCUACAGUCUCCGCAAGAAUAUCAUAAUCAUCACCCGAAGAACCAACGGCAACAUAAGAGUAAGACCCAUAUGAGAAUCGAUCCUUCCCCCAACGAGUACAGAUUGCCUGAACUGGAUCUGGAACAACAAUUCCUUUUGGAUGGUAAAUACCUCUCAGUAUCUCUAAUACUUUAUUCACAGACUCUACCGGUGACAUUUCCUCAAACUUAAUCGCAGCAUCCCCAGCAACAAGAGCCACGAGAAGUGGACCUCCUGAUACAGAAGAAUAGCUAUAAAAUAAAAAGAACUCACCUCUCAUACUUGAAUCUUCUGUCAAAUGCCCAAAUGUAUCAAUCUCUCCACCCCAAAAAUUAUGUGGAAACAACAUUGCAACUUUAUUAAGCAAUCCAUAUCCUAAUCUCUGAAUUGCAUCUUUCUUCCGCUGAGGAAGCUCAGGUACAAACUCAAUUGUUCCCUUCUUAAGCACACCUAAUGGUACUGUACAAAGAACCAUGUCCCCGCGAAACUCCUGCCCACCAGCAUAAACCAUAACCCCAUCAACACCGUAUCUAAUACUCUGCACAGUCCGUUGAUAAAAUAUUGGAAGAUCCUCAGCAAGUGCUCUAACAAACCAUUCAUUGCCUCCAGGAAUAAAGCAAUGAUCACCACCCAUCUCAUAUGGAUCAUCCUGAUCCCAAUAAGCCAUUGACAAAUUAGACAUCAAGGAAGCAUUUGCAUACUCCAAAUUUGCUAAAUGCCAAUUCAAGAGCAUUCUCUCUUGCAAAUCCUCAGCAACUUUAUAAACAUUUCUAAAAGCUUCAAGUGCAACGCCUAAUGGAACAUCUACAGAUUUAAAUUCCUCAAUCAUAUCAUGUCUAAGCUUGCAAACUCUAUCCAACAAUUUAUUAAACGAUACCUCUACUCCAGAAUCAAUAUCAGCAUCAAUUGCUUUACCAUUAGGUAAAUACAAAGGACAAAUAUCUCUCACCUUAUGAAGUGGCAAUUCUAACUGUCUAGCAAGAACACCAAGAGGGUUCCCAUUUAUUCCAGUGAGGACGCUCCCACCAACAUCAGCUGCAGCCACCACUCCAUCACACUUCAUCUUGCGUGUCUUGACACGUCCACCGGGACGUUCCCUGCCUUCCAAAACGACUACUUUAAACCCCAUUGAAAUCAACUGUCUCGCCGCAACUAACCCCGCAAGACCAGCACCUACGAUCACCACAUUACCCCUCUCCACUCUACCAAAUGACCCCAAUUUCACUUCUUUAAUAGGCGGCGCUAGCCCGAAAUUGAUGUACCCAUGUUCUAGUAAAAAAUCAUACGCUGAGUCAACUAGGGUUUUGUGCUCGGAACGAAUUGACUCGAGCGCCUGCUCACGCGUCAACCAGACAGAAACAUUCGAUCUCCAGAGUGAUAGAAUGUGAUUUCUCACGACAAUGUAAUUAGCUUGCUCGGUACCUCCAAUUUUGGAAACUACAUUCGCUUCGAUUUCUUCUUCAGUAAGUGAAUCAACUGGAAAACCAACUGAGAUUGCAAUUAGGGCUUCGGUGUCGACUUCUUUAGCAAGGCAGGAGAAUCUGGGGCGUCGGUUCCUCGCCAAGGAUGGAUUGCCGUUGAUUUCGGUGAAGAAGCGCUUUCUACGGCGUCGUUUCCUCGGGGGCGGGCCCGGCUCGGAAGGGUUAGGGUUUUGGGGCUGUUGGUCUUCUGGAAUUGGAUCAGAAGAGUCGUCUAGCGAGUCCGAAACGGGAGCCUCGAGUGCAGUAUUUGUUUCCGUGGCGUUCUGGAGCUCAUCAGUUUCCGCCUGGGUUUCGAUUUGACUGGGAGAGAGCGUUGCAUCGGUCUCCGGCGAAGACUCGUCGGAAACGACAUCGUCGUUUGCGUUAUCGGAGGGUUCUUGCGGUGUUUCCAUUUUGGGUUUAUCAUAAAGUCCUUCGGCUUAAAAAAUUGCCCGAAAAGACUAUAACCCCAAGUAAAAGAGUGCGCUAAUUUUUGUAAGGGAGUUUGCUGUUUUUUGCUUUUUUGAGUCACGAUUGGGUUAGGGCCUUAAAACGUAGCCCAAUUCUGACGAGCCAAGUUCAACCCGUCAAAGCUGCCGGCUCUGUUUUAAAAAGCAAGCUUAAUUAAACAAGGUUUAAAAUUUAAAAAGGCUAUAAAUUUUGAGAUUCAACAAACUUAAAAGAAAAAGGACAAAAUUAUCGUGGGAGAGGGUGCACGCAAAUGAAGCCAGUGCCUAAACCAAUUGAACGGUGAUGCUCUCUCUUCUGUCCUUGUAUCAGUGCAUCGUUCAAUUCGUCUUUUGGCUCUGCGAAAUCUCCACUCGCAAACGAUUCGUAAAGCAAAUUCUUGACUGACAAACAAAGGUGAAGGCAGCGAUGAUAACGCGAUCAAAUCUGGCAGAACAAUUGAGGGAAUAUCAAAAUCGAUCGAAGCACGAAUGGGCCUCUGUCUCUUUCUUCUCUUCCACUUCUAAUAUCUCUUCUUCUAGGUAUUUUAAUUUUCCUCUUAAUUUGGCAUUUAUUUUAUAAUUUUACGGCUAUGAACAUUUGCUUUGAUAUUUUCUUUGUCGUUUGAUUGUGCGAUUAAAUUAUCGUUGUUUUAAUUCAAACACUUGUUACAAAUUUAGCAUUUAGCUGGAUUGAUUGAUUUAGAGAAUUUUCAUUAGUUUUAAUUCGAAUCCUUAAAUGUAGGUUAGCCAAAAAGUUGGUAAUAAAUAAUUUUUUGAUGCUAAAAAAAAGGUAAAUUAUUGGAUUGCUUAUUCCACGCAAUGGUUAUGGUUAACAUAUGAAAGUGCAAGAAAUCUGUUGGUGCAAAACUUGAUGUGGUGUUUGUGAUGCGAUUAGAUAAAUUCCGUGCUUUCUAAUUUGUGCAAUCUUAAGAUGCCUUUUCACAGUGCCACUUAAAAUAAUGUAUUCAUAUUUUCAAAUUCCCUUUAGUUUUUGUGACUUCCAACUAUAACUUUUGAAUUCUUUGCUGUGUGAUAAGAUUUUGAAAGAAAAUAGUUUUUGCCUGAUUUUUUCUUGCUGCCUCAAAAAUGGCAUUUAAUUAUGGCUGAGGAAAUGAUGAUUGUAUGGAUGUGUGGAGGUAAAGAGAAGAUAAGAAUAUAUCUAGAAAAUGAGGCAAAUUUAAGAAUAUUCUCUGUGGGUGAUUGGUCAAUGGUUAGGGAUUUGAGGAGGCGACAGUGGGAUAAAGAGGUUGAACUUUUGUUUUAGUUCGAAAUGAUUUUACUGCUGAUAACCGUUGAACUAGCACGGAUCAGGUGUUUAUUUCUUGCUUUUGUUAGGUCAAGCUUCUGCCACAUAAAAUAGGAUAUGUUGUUUUAUUUCAGAGGAUUGAAAUUGUAUUGUGAAGGGGUGUGAGUAAUCAUUGGCUUUAUAUCACGUUGGUAACUAUAUGGGCAUGCUCGAUUUUAUUUCUGUUCAAAUAUAUUUUUUUCAUCUCAUCUACAGCUUUGUUUAGGGAGCUCUAAUUUAAACUUUGCAUUUAUUGUUUUCGCUUUGGUGUUUCUUGGUAAGAACGCUUAUAAUAGUGGUUGUGUCUUUUUCCCCGCUUGCUGUGGAUGCAGGGUGGACGUUGUGAUAUUCGUAAUAUGGGAACUCGUCAUUCUGGCUUUCCUGGUCUUUUCAGCAGUUUCAUUAUACUUUAGGCAUAUGCGACUGGCUAUUAUCUUAGUAAGCAUCACAAUGCUACUGCUUUUAUGCAUGAAAGUUACAAAACAAGUGAGAUUGGCUAGGAAGAAGAAACGAAGGAUGCUUCUUCCAUUGUCUAUGUAGAACAAUACAAGUUGAAAAGUUUUUUCAAGUACCCAACUUUUGUUCUGUAAAUCAUGAAAGUUAUUGGUCCGUGCAUUUGGUCUGAGCUUGCAUUGGUUUAUUUGAUUGUGUUGUUGCACCCAGAGCACAUUGAUUGAAGAAUGACUGACAUGAUCACUUCAACAGUUGGUUAUCAAAGUAAUGUGCAUUUAUCACUCAAAAUGUAAAGUUGGGAUGUCUCAUAAAUGAAGACGGUCUGUAGAAGAUGUCUUUCUCACUAGUACAUUACCAUAUAAACAGUGGCUUUGAGAAAUCUGUCAAAAUUUGAUUAUUUAUGAAAUUGCCAAAAGAUGAUUUUCCUUUUUGUGAUAUCUUAUAAUUUAUGAGUUGCUGAAUGGAUUGUCUUGAGUUCAUUUUGCCAUAAGUAAUAAAAUUGGAUAUAUUUUGGUCACAUUUCUUGUUUCUGAAGCAAGGAAAUAUUAGGAGAUAACGUCAGGAAAUGGAGUGGUCGUUUGCUAAUUUGUUGCUUCGAUCAUAACUGUAGGCUGAACUUCACUGGGGACUUUAGUAAUCAACUAAAGUCCCAGAGCAAGCAUGUUCCCUCUGGCUGUUGCUUCUAUUGAGUAGGGAUGGCAAAAAUUCCCACAGGGACGGGUAUUUUCGGGGAUUUUCCCCAUUCGGGGAGGGUAUGUGGAUAAUUUCAUACCCAACAGCUUAUUCGGGGAAGGGAUGAAGAAAUUUUUUACCCAAUUUCUUAUUCGGGGAGGGGACGGGGAUGAGGUGGAAUCCCCAUCUCCUACCCAUUUUUCCGUUUUAAUUUUUAAUUUAAUUUUUAUUUUUUAAAUUAUUAGUAAAUAAAUAAUAAAAUUUGAAUUUUAAAAUUAUAAGUAUUGGUAAAAAUAAAAAAUAUCAAAAUAUUCAUAUUAUUAAACUUUUAGGCCUAAUUAAUUAAUUAAAGUUCUAAAUUUUUAUUUAGGACAUUAAAAAGACCGGACAGAUUCUAUUAGUCCAAAAUUUUUGUUUUAAUUUUAAUAUUCAUUAAAUAUUUUAAACUUAAAUUUAUUUUUUAUUUAUCUUAAAUCUAUUUUUAUUUAUUUUUAGAUGUUAUAAUUGCUCACAGCAAAUCACAAUUUUAAUAUAUAAUCUAAUAUAAUAUUUGCUCUUGAUUUGCUUCGACUUAACUAUUGUGCUAUAAAAUGAAUAGUCCACAUUUAUAAAGUGCCAAUGCCACCAUUGAAAAGUUAAUUUUGAAUAUAAAUUUGAUUUUAUUUGUAACAAUUUUGUAUUAGGCUAUUAAUUUAUUCAUGAUAGUUUGUAUCCCUUACAUGCUGAGUUACUUACUAAUUUAAUGUAUGUGACUUUUGUAAUGGAUAUUAAUGUAAGAUAUAUUUUGAACUUUAUUUUUAUUUGAAUUUUUUAUUUUAAUAUGAUUAACUUAAAAUCGAAAACAAACAAAAUGUAUUAGUUAUUCGGGGAUCUCCUGUUAUUAUUCGGGGAGGUGAUGAUGAUUCUCUUAAAUAAUUUUGACGGGAAUGGGGAGGGAACGAGGACAUACGCAAAAUAUCGGGAAUGAAUACGGGGAGAUUGGUCCCCUCCCCUCCCCUCCCCAUUGCCAUCCCUACUAUUGAGCCUUGAAGAAGUGAAAUUCAAUUCCCAUGGUAGCUAAACUCCAUGUUGCUCCAAUAACCGCUAGAAUGCUGAGAACCAUUCCUAAAAUUCCUAAUGCCCAAUUGAGACCCCAAAUUGCACUAUAUGUGGUGGGCUUUCUAAUGUGGAUCCACAUGAAGCAUGGAUACGCUAAGGUUAUGGGUAAUGCAAUCCCUCCAAUCAACGCAGCCAAGUUGCGCAAGAAUGGAAGUGCCGCUGAUAUAAAGAAUUCGACGCUUCCAAAGAAGACUCUAAUACCCGAGCGGAGCCACCAUGGACAUGGUUUGUUAUAUUUGCUAGUAUAUUUGAAUUCCAAAUUAUCAAACACCGGCAUAGCAAAAAUCUGAAAUGAGCUGAGACUGCUAAUCACAACAAAUAAGCUUGUCAAUCCCAGAAGCACUUUUGAUGUGUCAUGAUUAUGGUAUUUGUGCAAGGCAUCAAACAUCCCUUCAUUUCCAGGCAUCUGGCAGUAAGCAUCAUAUAUAUCAUUAGCCUUAAAGAAACAAAAGAAAAGUAAACAGAGACAACAGAGACGGUAUUGGCUUUGCUCUCACCAAAUUUCCAUAUGCGGAAUAGCCGCCUAUUGCAAGAGGAAACAAACACAUCGCAAUAAUCAAAUAUGCGAACUUCACUCCUCUCCACAUCGGGAUACGCGAAGGUUUCUUUGCAGUAGAAGGCAUGGUCCCCUGUAACAAUAUCGUCAUAAUUAUAAUUUUUCAAAAUUCAUCAGUUUCAAUAUAUAUUUUUAAUUGAAUAUAUUGCCAUUUCUUUGAAUGAAAAGGUUGAACUUUACUUGUACUUCGAGCACAAGAUUAUGGCCUCUGAAAGCGAAGGCGAUUAUCCCAAGUGAAUUGAGAAUACUGAAAAUGGUAGCCACGUCUGAUAUCUCCUUCACCGGCUCGUAGGAGACACCCACGGGCCUAUCUUUAAUGACGGACACAACCCAAAUGAUUGUACAGUAGCUAACGGCAGUGAUUGCUCCGAUCAGGGAAACCCCAGCGAUUGAAUUUAAGUUGGGAAGUUGAGCCAAAACAACUGCUGCGCAAAUGAACACCAAGUACCACUCUACAGUUGUUAAACGAGUAACGUUGCAUGUCUCACUAGCACCACACACGAUUUCGAAAAAUGUCUUCAACGUGCCACCUCCUAUCAUGACCAAGAUCACACACGUGCCACCUGAUAGAUACAUGAUUGGGAAAAGAGCAAGCAGCUUCCCUCGUUUUUCACCUAAAAAUCUCGCAAUCAUGCGUUAAUUAUUAAUUGGCCUUUUGUGUUUCAUUAAACGGAAGUGCAGGUAAGCCAGUAUUGUAUUCAAGCUGAUUAUUUAGGACAUAUAUAAGGUACUUUGCAAGCAGCUUCCCUUGUUUGUUAUGGUGUUGAUAGGGAAAUGAUGAAGAAGUUGGGUUUGGCUUAUUCUUCGGGAUCCGAAGAAAUUGAUUAUCAAUUAAGGUGAAUACUGAUGGAGUAACUGUAAAGGUAAUCCAGGUCUUUUCAGCUGGUGGAGAGAUUUUCCGUGAUCCUAUCUUGCCGGUUUUGGUUGAUCAUGAUGAGGGUUCACUCGCGUUACUGCUUUUAAGCUUUAUGUGCUUUUUUCAGUCUCAAGUUACGACUAAGCCGUAUUCAUCUGUCUUCAACAAAGAAAAAUGAUAUAGCCUGAAGGAAUGGUGUUAAAGUAUUAAUUAAUUAUUUUGUCUUUUUUUUUGGGUUUAAUUUUUCUAUUUAACUAUUACAGCUCUCCAACGAAUCACACACCGUCUUAUGAGGCUUACUCUCUCUCUCUCUCUCUCUCUAUAUAUAUAUAUAGCUUUGACUGUCGUUUACCAAAUUUGUAUUUUUUUUUUUAUGAGAAUUUGUAUUUUUUUUUAAAAACAAAAAAGAAUUGCACGUAAGUCAUUAUCAACACCAAAUUAAAGCCUGUUAUGUACUUCUUGUACCAUAUAGGACGCUGCUUACCAAAAGCUGCCAUUGAAAGACGGAGGUAUCUGCUGUAGCGUGUCCCAGAUUCCGAUUCAUGCAGCUGAAUCAGUAACCAUAAAGUGUACAGCUGCCAUAUGAAAACCAAUAAGAGACAUAUAAUUCCCCAGGUCCUGCAAAAUAUGAUUAUGAUUAGGUUCAUUUUACAUUACAAGUUCUACAACAAAAUAGAUUAAAAAUGAAAAAAAGAACGAAAAGAAAAACUAAAAACCUAAUUAUGAUUAUGAUCAUGAUCAAAGACAAAUUUAUUAUUUACCAGCCGAGAGUAGUGAAGGCUAGAGGAAGAACGAGGGCCUGAACACCGAUUCCUGAACUGAGAGUGUGAAACGCUGAGUAGUACGCAUUGCCAUUCCUGGAUUCAGUGAUGGGAAGCCAAGCGUCUUGAGGGUCAAGUUUGGUGAAUUGACCAACCUCUUCUAAGUAACCAUGCACACUUGUAAUCGCCUUCUUCAUAGGGCUGACAAUUGGUGUCAUUAAACGCGAAGCCAACGGGCUUCUUGGUGUUCUAGGGGCUGAAUCAGGCAACGGUGAUGGAGGAGCUGAAAUGGCUGUACUUGCUGGGCUCGAAAUCUCACCCAUCUCUAACAAAUUACUUAUUCUAGCUCGCUCUUAUCUUUUGAUAUAUGUGUGUGUGUGUGUGUGUGUAAGUGGAGCUAUAUUAAUUCUUUGACUAUAUUGCUAUAACUCGGGGAGCCACUUUUACUUUUGAUUUAAGGAGUAGUAUACGAUUUGUUUAAUAACUGUGGACGCUGAUCAGUAGGUUAAAUAAAAAUUAAUUAUUGAAUUAAGUGGAAACUUUGACUCGACGACCCCACGUUUGGCUGCUGUCGUCGUGAGAAAUGGCACCAGUGAAUGAGUGGCCGACUCUUUUUUGAAGCUCGCCUCUUUUCCAUCAUGCCGCAGCCGCCACACACGUCACCUUGCCUUCAUCAGCAUCUCCUUUUCUCUCUAGCUACCUAUCUUUAAUUAUGGACUGUUUAAUUUGCAUGUAUAUUGUAUUUUAUGUUGUAUUUUCUCUGUUUUCAUGCACGUAGUUUGUUUGACUGGACAAUCAGGAGACGCUGUAUCGCGCUAAAACCACUUUUUUUUUUAAUAAUGAAAAUAAUUUUUUUUUUAAAAAGAAAGUAUUCCUUUCAUUGCCUUAAGAAGAGAACAAAUACAAGAUUUCAACUGGAAAUUCAUCCAGCCAUAUACAAGAUUCCGACUUUCUAAGAGCUAACUUAGCUAGGUCAUGAGCUAAAUUAUUACAAGUCCUCCCUACAUGCUAAGCUUUGAAAUUCUGGAAACUCUUCUUGGCUUCUAGAAUGUCAAAGAUCACCCAAAAAAGCUUUGUUGAGGUGCUUUGCUUGCUGUUUAUUAGCUCUACCACCCUCUUCGAGUCAGAUUCUAAAAUGAUUGAAGAUGCCCCUGCCUUAAUAGCUUCUUGAAUUCCCCACAGAGCAGUCUUUGCUUCAUACAUCUCCACAUCUCCAAAGCUUUUGACAGUGUUUACUGCUGCCGCAACCACUUCGCCUCUGUAAUUCCUGAUCACAGCCCCCAAACCAGCAAGAUUAUUUUGCUCAUCUAUUGCGGCAUCCACGUUAACUUUGACCCAAUCUUCACUAGGAGGACUCCAUUGGUUUUGCUGCAUGCUUGUCAAUUCCAGUGAGAAAUUGUGCUCUGGUUGCUUUAUUCGUUUGACAGAAUCAGCUAUAGACAUUGCUUUGGCUAUCAGUCGUGAUGGAUCUUCACACUUCCCAUUAAACAGCCAGUUGUUCCGAGCAUUCCAAAUGACCCACAAAAAGGAUGCAACUAGCUCACUAUUUAGAUUGCUAUGAUGUUGGUAUGAGUGGUGAAGCAAAGUAAUAACAUCAGGGAAAUUUUCAACUUUCAAAUCAAUUCCCAGGGAGGAGUAUCUCCACACUUUCCUCGCAAAUUUACAGAACAAUAAGGCAUGAGUUGUGCUCUCUAUCUCAUUAUUGCAGAUUGGACAAGUUGCCUCUUGCAUCACUCUUUUAUUCCUUAAAUUUUCUGUUGUGGGAAGAAGAUUCUUUGCCGCUCUCCAAAGGAAGAUCUUUACUUUUUCGGGGACCAUAAAUUUCUAAGAAGAUUCUUUGCCGCUCUCCAAAGGAAGAUCUUUACUUUUUCAGGGACCAUAAAUUUCUAAAUGAUAUUCCAUUGACUGGGGUUUUGAUUUGAGCAGCUGGGAAUGUCCUGGUGCCUUUGCUUUAAAGCUAGCUGGUAGCCACUUCUAACUAAAUAGUUCCCUCGCUUAUCAUAAUGUCAAAUUAGAGUAUCUCUAUUUUGCUGUCUAGGGAGAGGAUAUGAACAAUUAUUUCAGCAUCAUCUUUACCAAAAUGUUGAUAGAUUAGCUCUUCCUUCCAGCAAUUGUUGUCAUCUAUAAGCUCCGCCACAGAUGCUUCCUUUGGCAAAUUUGGGGGUGAUAUGGGUUUGAAAGUUGUUGGUCUAGGAAUCCAGCUGCCAUUAAGGAUAUUUAUCUGUUGCCCAUUACCGACUCUCCACCUGCAGCCAUUCUUCAACUCUUCUCUUCCCCAAAGAAUGAUUCUCCAAAUGUAAGAUGGUUUAGAACCCAAAUUUGCCUAUAUGAAAGAUGAAUACUUAAAAUAUCUUGCCUUUAGGAGUCUGGCCACUAGAGAACCUGGAUUUUGGAUGAUCCUCUAGCCUUGUUUGGCCACGAGGGCCUGGUUGAAACAUGAGAGAUCUUUGAACCCCAAACCUCCUCUGAUUUUUGCUUGGCACAGAUUCUCCCACCUAAACCAGUGGAUAUUUUUUUUUCUCCUUCGAUGAGCCCCACCAGAACUUGGCUAUUUCCUUUUGCAUAUCGUCACACAAUCCUUGAGGAAGCUUGAAAACACUCAUAACAUAAGUGGGAACCGCUUGCGCCACUACUUUAAUAAGGAUCUCUUUACCUCCACAUGAGAAAAAAUUUUGCUGCCAGUCCGAAAUCUUGCUGAGCACCCUGAGCUUUAUCUCGUUGAAGAAACCCUUUGUCAUUUUCCCUAUCAUUGAUGGAAGUCCAAGAUAUUUUUCGUGCUUAGAGACGACAUUAAGCUGAAAAAUAUGUUUUAUUGCUGCUACAUGCUCCGGCUUUGUGUUGCUACUGAAAAACAUUGAUGAUUUUUCCAUGUUAAAAAUUUGACCCGAAGCCCUCUCAUAGCAUUCAAACACCUUCUUUAGAUUUCUACAUUCGUCAGCCGUUGCUCUAGCAAACAUUAGACUGUCAUCCGCGAACAUGAGAUGGGAAAUAGACAAGUCUUUGCCGAAAUUUAACCCAUAGAUAAGCUUUUAAUGCUCGGUCUGUCUAAUCAGAUUGGAAAAAGCUUCAGCACACAUAAUAAACAGGUAUGGAGACAAUGGGUAGCCUUGUCUAAAGCCUCUUUGCGGAUAAAAUAAUCCUUUUGCUACCCCAUUUACAAUAACAGAAGAAGAAACUAUAGUAAUUCAAUUCAUGAUUAGAUCAACCCAUCUCCGCAAAAACCUCAUUCUCAGCAUAAUUUGUUCCAGAAAAGGCCAUUUCACUCUAUCAUAAGCUUUGCUGACAUCUAGUUUAAGAGCCAUCAGCCCAUGUUUUUUUCCCUUACUAUGUCUUAUCUUAUGCAAGCAUUCAUAGCCUAUAAUAGUGUUAUCCAAGAUUAAUUUAUUCGGGAUGAAUGCACUUUGGGUUGGAACUAUGAUGUAGUAAAGGAUGUGUUUGAGUCUAUUUGCAAUUGUUUUGGCAACUAUUCGGUAAAUAAAAUUGCAAAGGCUUAUGGGUCGGAAAUCGGUUACUCUCGAAGGUUUUGACACCUUAAGGAUUAAUGCAAUAUGUGUAUGAUUUAAAAGGGCAAUGUCACCUCCAUUGUUUAGGAUAUGAAGACAUGUAUUUAUAACUCCAUAUCUGACUAAAUGCCAAUGCUUCUGGUAAAAAGCCGCAAGCAGCCCAUCUGGUCCCGGCGCCUUUGUAGGACUCAUUUGAGAUAUGGUUGUGUAAAUUUCCUCUGCUGAGAAUGAGCUGUCCAACUGUUGAUUCAUUUCAUCCGUGAUUGUUGGGGCUAACUCGCCAAGGGCAGCUAAGAUGUGGUCAGAAUUAAAAUUGGAUGUGGUGAAUAGCUCGGCAAAAUAAUCACAAAAUUGUUUGUCCACUUUUUCCUCAUCUUCCACCCAACUGUUCUGCUUGUUCAUAAUUCCCCAAAUUCUGUUUUUUUACUUCCUUGACGAAGCUUUUGCAUGAAAGUAUUUGGUGUUUCUAUCUCCUUCCUUCAGCCAUUCAACUCUUGACCUUUGUCUCUAAUAAAUCUCCUCAUCCAUCCACAAAUUCUCAAUUCGCUUCUCUAAACUCACUAUCUCAUUGUCUUCUUCAUAAUGCACUUGAUUAAGCUUCAUCUCCACCAGCAUUUUCUUCAACUGCUCCACUUUUUUCUUUCUAUCACCAAAAUGUUGCCUAUUCUAUAACAAUAGCCGAGCCAUUGAGUCUUUUGUUGCUUUGUUAAAGCAUUGAACCAGAUCAUUUUUAUCCCAACAAGCCUUCGUUUCCCACUCUUCUUGAACAAUAUGCUUACAAUCUUCAUAAGGGCUCCACAUGUUCUCAUAAUGCAGCCUACAUAUCAUUCUUCGCUGAAAAUUCACUCCCCUGAUUCUGGUUUGCACUUUCAGCAUAAUUGGGGUGUGGUCCGAGCACCAUGUAUCUAGGUUAUAAGCAACCAGUUCAGACAAACCAGUUUCCCACUCCUUCAACCCAAAAAAUCUAUCUAAUUUUUUUUUAACAAAAUUUGGACCAAAUCAUCUAUUUGACCACGUAAAAAGGUACCCUCUACACUCAAUGUCAGCCAACUUGCACUCCCUCAUUGCAUCUCUAAACUCAGCCACCAUACUUAAGUUUCUAUCAUUCCCACCCAUUUUUUCAUUGGGGUUUAAGAUUUCAUUAAAAUCUCCAAAACAAAUCCACGGGUAAGUGAAUAGACCUGCAAGCCUUUUAAGGAGUGUCCACGUAUGUCUUUUUUGCCCCGCCUCUGGAUGCCCGUAGAUACUCAUGCACCUCUAUUGUUUUCCAUCUACCCCUCUGACAAUAGCAUCAAUGUGAUGGUUACUAUAGGAGGCAAUCUCCAAGUCCAAGUCUUCAUUCCAAAGCAUUGCCAAACCACCCCCAUGCCGCUUCUACCUACAGCAAAACAAUUAUCUAACCCCAGCCUCUUCCCCAUAUUCAUCAUGUGGCCAUACUCCAAUUUCGUUUCACACAGAAAAAGAAUUCGAGGCUGAUGUUUUUGGAGAAUGUCUUUUAAUUCAUGGAAUGUUCAGGUAUUCCCCAAACCUCGAACAUUCCAACUUAAGAUACUCAUUGCUUUCGGCGGGGCUGACAACCAGCCUCCGCCAAUAAUUCCUCCAUAAUUGGUUCAGGCACCUCCAUAAGUUCCAUAGUUGUUACUUCCUAGCUGAGUUUGAGAGUUUUUGAGAGAGGCUUAGUUGGGCUAACAACCAAGACUUUUUUCACAGGGCUUGCUGUUUUGGCUUUUUUCUUUUUCGGACUAGGCCACAUCACCUCGCUGCAUAAUCGUUUUGAUACCAAAGUCCCAGCUUUACUAGGUUUUUUGUUUGUAUCACAGGCUUGACUUUUCCAUCUUUUCCAUUUGGGCCUCGAUUUUUUUGCCUUUAGCCCAUCGUCUACAACUUCUUCCUCUGAGCUCAUUUGGGUUGAGUGCGUUUCAUUUGCUCGUUUUUCUUCUUUGCCCGCCAAGAUUUCAUUCCCCUUUCCAUUUCCUCCAAUUUUUCCUUUUUCUAGCAAAUAUCUCUCUUGUAUGUCCUGCAUUCCUGUUACAUCAGAAAUUUUAGCUGCACCGUGCAGCUUUUUGUCAUUGGAUUGCAUCAGCUUUUUUUUGCUUCCUUCAAAAUUGUCAGCAGUCACAGCACCCUUAUCCAUGUGUCCCUCCCUUAUUAGCCCUCCUUCCAUAUCCAUGCUUUCUUUAUUCAAUGUGGAUCCGAAUUGAUGACCCACGUUUAAGUUGGGUGAACCCGAGUUUGGGAUUUCUGCACUAUCCGAUUCUGGAACUUCUUCUCUAGAUUUUUCGUGCUUCCUACUCCAUUUCUCCCUUGCUCUGUUUAGCUUGGUUCUGUCUGCUAAUGAUACUACUUUUAACCAUGGUAUGAACGGUAAAUUUUCUUUCUGCUGGCCUUUAUACUCCAUACAUUCUCUGAACUGGUGUCCAAUGCAUCCACAACAAAAGCAGAAGUCAGGUAAUCAUUCAUACACCACAGGCAAAUGGAUGUCCUCUUCAUCUUCUUGCUUUAGGACUAUAAGUUUCUUCAAAGGUUUUGUAAUAUUCACUGAAACUCGGAUACGUACAAAUUCCCCAAAGCAUUCACCCUAUGCAUCCAUGCCUAUAUCCUCCACCUUUCCAACCCUCGACCCCAGCUCUCGGAUAGUAUCCAUGCACAUCAAUGGCACAUUAUGGAUUUGAAUCCAGAAAGAGACAUGAGAAAAAGAUUGUUUUUUGAUACUACCAAUACCCUUUGGUUCUUGGAGAACCAUCAAGGCUCUAUCAAAGUGCCACGGUCCUCCAUUUAAGACUCUUUUUAUCAGCUUCUGAGAGAAACUUAAAAACGAAUAUGUUGCUACCUAAGCUUUCUACCUUGAAAUCAUGAACAGUACGCCAAGCUUGGUCCAAAGCUGUUUUGAGUCCUUCACGAUUUACCCCUCUCGCUAGAAGAAUUUUUCCAACAAGACAACCAGCAACUACUUUGGAACCCUUUUCUUUCAUCUGGCCCGCAAAAAUAAAUUUGUCUGUUUCCUCUCCUUCAAGUGUUAUGGCUUGACACUUCCGUAUUAACUCUUCCGUUUCCAUCUCCAAGCCACUAGCCCACGAUAUUUAUUGUAGUAUUUUGGAUUUUGCUUUGAAAAACCCUCACCAACCCCUCCUGACCUUCCGAGGAGGAUUUUCAAAAAGCAAAAAAUAAUUAAAAGCUUCACCCACCCCUUUGGAAUAAGACAAAGGAAGAGGAAGACAAAAGAAUCACCAAACACUCCUUAUGAGUGAUACUCAAGGCCAUGAAGGCCUGAUGUAGCUACCAUUCUACCUUUCCUCAUUUCAGAGAAAAGAAAGGAGAGUCUUACAUCCGAAUCUUUUAACUUAUUCUUUACUUUAUAUAAGGGAUUCCAUAAUGAAAACAUAUUAAAGUUAAAUAUUUGCUAUGAAUAUACGGACCUAAAAUGAUUCUCCUCUGAUAUAAGUUCUUACGAUUAAAUUAAAAUUAAAAUACGAGCGAGUGUUUUAUAUUGUUUAUAUACUUCGAAUUAUACAUAACUUGAAGUUCAGGCUCCAGAGUUCACUGGAAGUUAAGUGUUAGAUCAUCAGUCGGGACUUGGGAAAAAAAUUAUAAAAAUCAGAAAAUUUGAUCAGUCUAGUCGGGCUCAAAACUACAAACAUACUCUUUCGAUACUGCCAGCAAAAAAUAAAAUUGAUAGUCAUUAAUAAAACCCCUUCGUGCGCUGUGGGAAAAGGCGCCUUGUCAACUUUCCUCGUUACUUAUUUCCUAACUUUAUUUCAAUCUUGUCCAAAUUGCUUUUGUUUGAAAAUUUCUCUGUGAUUUGUCUGCGGAUCAUGAUGUUUAUUUAAUUUAUCACUCUUCAUCUUCUUGCUUUAGGACUAUAAGUUUCUUCAAAGGUUUUGUAAUAUUCACUGAAACUCGGAUACGUACAAAUUCCCCAAAGCAUUCACCCUAUGCAUCCAUGCCUAUAUCCUCCACCUUUCCAACCCUCGACCCCAGCUCUCGGAUAGUAUCCAUGCACAUCAAUGGCACAUUAUGGAUUUGAAUCCAGAAAGAGACAUGAGAAAAAGAUUGUUUUUUGAUACUACCAAUACCCUUUGGUUCUUGGAGAACCAUCAAGGCUCUAUCAAAGUGCCACGGUCCUCCAUUUAAGACUCUUUUUAUCAGCUUCUGAGAGAAACUUAAAAACGAAUAUGUUGCUACCUAAGCUUUCUACCUUGAAAUCAUGAACAGUACGCCAAGCUUGGUCCAAAGCUGUUUUGAGUCCUUCACGAUUUACCCCUCUCGCUAGAAGAAUUUUUCCAACAAGACAACCAGCAACUACUUUGGAACCCUUUUCUUUCAUCUGGCCCGCAAAAAUAAAUUUGUCUGUUUCCUCUCCUUCAAGUGUUAUGGCUUGACACUUCCGUAUUAACUCUUCCGUUUCCAUCUCCAAGCCACUAGCCCACGAUAUUUAUUGUAGUAUUUUGGAUUUUGCUUUGAAAAACCCUCACCAACCCCUCCUGACCUUCCGAGGAGGAUUUUCAAAAAGCAAAAAAUAAUUAAAAGCUUCACCCACCCCUUUGGAAUAAGACAAAGGAAGAGGAAGACAAAAGAAUCACCAAACACUCCUUAUGAGUGAUACUCAAGGCCAUGAAGGCCUGAUGUAGCUACCAUUCUACCUUUCCUCAUUUCAGAGAAAAGAAAGGAGAGUCUUACAUCCGAAUCUUUUAACUUAUUCUUUACUUUAUAUAAGGGAUUCCAUAAUGAAAACAUAUUAAAGUUAAAUAUUUGCUAUGAAUAUACGGACCUAAAAUGAUUCUCCUCUGAUAUAAGUUCUUACGAUUAAAUUAAAAUUAAAAUACGAGCGAGUGUUUUAUAUUGUUUAUAUACUUCGAAUUAUACAUAACUUGAAGUUCAGGCUCCAGAGUUCACUGGAAGUUAAGUGUUAGAUCAUCAGUCGGGACUUGGGAAAAAAAUUAUAAAAAUCAGAAAAUUUGAUCAGUCUAGUCGGGCUCAAAACUACAAACAUACUCUUUCGAUACUGCCAGCAAAAAAUAAAAUUGAUAGUCAUUAAUAAAACCCCUUCGUGCGCUGUGGGAAAAGGCGCCUUGUCAACUUUCCUCGUUACUUAUUUCCUAACUUUAUUUCAAUCUUGUCCAAAUUGCUUUUGUUUGAAAAUUUCUCUGUGAUUUGUCUGCGGAUCAUGAUGUUUAUUUAAUUUAUCACCAUGCCCAUGAAGUUCCAAUAUAUAUAUAUAUAUAUAUAUAUGAUUCAACGGAUAUGAAAAAGAAACUUGAUGGCCAUGGGGAGCAAAACCACUUCAUGGAUAAGGACGUGGCCAUUUCAGUCGUAGCUUGCUAUUGCACAUGCAAAACAAUACUUUAACCUGCCAUGAAAUUAAGCUUUCUUUCACCUCUUUCAGUGGUGGCUCUGAGAUCACCACAACUUUAAUUUGUUUAUAUGCAUGUGAAAGUUGCUUUGGAUAUUUUUCUCUUUUUUAAUUUUUCUACUUUUGGUAGAGACGACUUCUUUUUAUCUUUUUCUUUUGGUCAAGACAUGCACCCGUUUUUCAUAUGUUUGGGAUCAAUCAUUCAGAGUAUGGCAAAGACUUUAAAGAUGAAAGUCGACUGAAAAAUUAUAAUCAGAUAGAUGAUGUAAAUUAUUUUUAUUUUCAAACGGUAAAUGAACAAAACUUACUUCUUCUUUGGUGAAAUUAACCAUUAUUUCCUUCAUUAGCUUUUACAACUCAAUAGAACACUGUGACAUUAAUAAUACCCAACGUUUCUUCUUUUUGUUUUUUUCCCAAAAAAAUUAGUGCUAUACAUAUACCAUAUACAUGAAUGCAUAUUAAAUUUUUUUUUUUUUUUGUCUUAACCACGAGGUAUCGUGGGGAGGGCUCCAACUGUGGGAGGCACCUUUAAGCCCGUACCACAACCCAGACUAGAAGUCCCCGCUCGAACCUGGAGGCACAUGUUCUCCCAAUAAAGACGACUUCCUUGCGACUCGAAUUGGGGAGCAAACUCAGUCAAGCCACUUAAGGGAGACUCCAUUACCAAUAGAGUCAACAUUUUGUUGGUUGCAUAUUAAAUAAUUUAACGUAGCAAAUAAAAAAUGUCGUAUGGUCACUGAUUAGGUGAAUGGCAUGCUUAAUCAUUUGCACAAAUUCAAGUCCAUGUGAAUCUUUUGCUUCAAUAUGUUUUGUAAGCUAACUACAACAUUUUCAUUUUUUGCAGUGGCCAGAAUACACACAUAUUAAAAAAAAUGACCUUAGUAUAAAUUAAAUUAAGCUGAAAAAGGAAAUUAAUAUGCCGAUUCCUAAGAUUAACAAAAAUAUUGAAUUUUUUAUUAUUUUUAUUUUGAUAAAAAAAUUUGAAAUAAGGGAUUUCUUAUUUUAAUAAAAUAGAAAAUAAAUUUAAAAAAAACACACACACAAAUACAUUAAAAUAUAAAAUAAAUUAAAAUUCAGUGUUGAAUUGAGAUUUUACUCAAUAAUAUAUUUCCAUCUGUCACAAAGAUACAUUAGAAUUAUUGUUUGUUUCCUUUUUUUUUAAUUUUUUGACCUUGACCAAUAACACAUCGUUUUGGAAUAAAUCUUUUGCUCCAAAAGGGCAAAAACUCCUGCGUUUGCUUUCCGAAGACUCCGCGUGUUUGCUUUCCGCCUCGACUCUUCCUCCUUCAUCUUAGGCACUUACUUCCAUGGGCGGAUCUAGCAUGUGACCAGUGGGGGCUCAAGCUCCCACUGGCCAAAAAAUAAUUGUAAAAAUAAAAAAGAAAAAUAUUUUUAUUUUCUAAUUAUCCCUCAUUAAAUUUAUUAAAAUAGUCACUAUAAAUUAUAAACCCCAUAAAAUUUAAACUUUAACUUUUAAGAAUUAUAAAAACUUAUAUUUUAAUUAAAAAUAAUGAUAGCCCUCCACCCAAAAUAUUUUCUAUUCUCAAAAAUAAGAUUAAUUCUUACAUUUUCUAUAAUAAUAGUAAAGAGAACGUUUUCAGUAAUGAAACUCAUUAAUAAUCAUCUUUGGAAUUGGAUGAAAUAAAUGAUAGUUUGGUUGUUUAUAUAAGAAAUAAUAAAUUUAAUAAUAUUGAUGACAAGUCUAUUGCAUAAUAUUUUUAAAAUAUGAAAUUUCGUAGAGAAUAAUUAUAAAUGUAUUAAUAAAUAUUUUAUAUAUUCAAAAUUUUAAUUUUUUAUAUUUUACUAUUAUCUAAUUUAGCCCCCGGUAAAUUAUUCUUCUAGAUCCGCCACUGCUUACUUCCACCAACAUCACAUCAAUUGAAGAAAUUUCAACAGCAGCAAAAUUCAGUUUGAUUUUUUUCAGAUUUUGUUAUUAAUUUAUAUUCUGUCUAUUGCUCUUUGUUGUCAUUGUUUAAUGCUAGAAUUAUCCCUCUUUUUAAAAACUCUUUUCCAUAUGAAAUUGCUUUUUUUUUUUUUGGUUUUAUCAUUUCUUCUAUGAGGAAUUUCGCCAAACAGGUGGCCGACAUGAAAUACAUCUAGAUUUGUUUUAGUGCAAUUGAAAAUUAACACCUCAAAAAUUGAUCAUGAAAUCGACACAAAAUUUACAGAAGCUGAAAUGGAUCAUCACAUUGAAGAUUUGGACAAAAAUAAAGAACGUGAAUAGGUAAAGAUGAAGUUUUGGAACAUACCGUCAACAACCAAAUGAUUCCACCCCAAAGAAGAAAAUGACAUACAAAAAACAUUAAAGGAGUAGAACUUAGUUGCACACUUGACCAAGUUGUUUUUAAGAAUUUUUUUAUUUAACCUUUGCUAUCCAUGUUCAUAUAUAUAUAUAUAUAAUAAGAAAAUUCUCAUUUUAAUAAAAUAAAAACACCACUAAUAAAUAAAAAUAACAUAUUUCAAUAUACUAACAGGUAAAAAAUAUAUUUUUUAAUGUAUUAAAACCUGUGCUUUUUUGGUAUUUUAGUGGACGUCUUCAUUUUAACCAAAUGACAGUACUCUCACUAGAGCUGGCAAAACGAGUUAUCGGAUCGUGUUCGUGUCGUGUCGUGUCAAAUUUAGAUUAACCCAAACCCAACCCAUUUAAUAAUCGUGUCAAAAUAUUGUGACACAAACCCGACACAGAAAAAUAAUCGGGUUACCUAAUAACCUGCUUAAUAGCUAUAUAUUAAACAAAAGUUACAUCAAAUAUUUACACAUUGUCAUAAAUACGUAUAUACAUUCAUACAUACAUAAUAUAUCAAUAUUAUAAAAUAUACAUAUCUAACAAAAUAUUACACAUUUACACUACUGAAGUUUUAAUUAUAUAUAUAUGUAAAUAAUAUUGUAUAUGAAUAUUAUAAAAUAUACACGUCUACUAAUAUUUUACACACUUACACUAUUGAAGUUCUAAAUGUAUUUAAAAUUUUAUAAAUAAAACAUUGUGUUUAUGUUUAUCCUUUCAAAGAAUAAAAUUAAAAGAGAAAAUCAUCUCUAAUAUUUGAGUUUUAACGACAAGAACCUGCAAAUUAUUUUAAAAUAUAAAAUAUAAUCGGGUCAUUGAUCGAGUAAAUAGGUCAAGAAUUUUAACCCUAACCCGACACAGAAAAAAAUCGUGUCGACCCGGAUCUGACCCAUUUAAUAAUCGUGUAAAAUUUAACAACUCAUACCCAUUUAUUUGUGUCGGGUAAUCGGGUCGUGUCAAAUUUUGCUAGUUCUAACUCUCGCAAAAAAAUGACUCUAUAUAUAUAGUGAUAAACGAGAAGAAAUAAUCAUAAUAAAUACUAGCACGAAGCGAAACACAAUCAUGUCCCUAAUAAUGCUAUUUGUUACAAGAAUCAAAUUACAAAUAUAUAUAUUACCAGUUUUAAAUAGAAGAGUGAACAGUAUCAGCUGAAGUUGUGGAUGGUUAUUGGGGAAGGACUUAUCAGCCGAUAAGAAGCAGCAGCAGAGCAUUUACUAGAGACCAUAAAUACAAGCAAUGCCUUGAGAAAAUUUUUAGACGCAGGAUUCUGAACAAUAUAGAUCACAUACUCCAAAAACGCUGCGUUGCAUGGCAAAAUUAUUGGCCCAUCAGUGGGUAACCCAAACUCUUCCUCAGACAUCUCAAAUAAUUCUCUGAAAAUGUUUGUAUGCAAAUAUGCCAGAGGAAUCACAAAGCGUCUCAAAUCGGUUGAGUACACAACAAAAUGGCCCUUGUUAGCUUGCUUACAAUUGCUGAUUCCGGGCAAUGCAAUCGAUCUUCGACCAACGCCGGCCAUUUUUCGCCACUUCAUAGCAAUGACAGUGAGUUUUUUCAAGCCAAUCAUGGAGGUUUUGUAAUGAAAAUAAUCAAAUUAAAAGAGAAUAUAGAAGCAUUGAAGACUCUUGUGAUGGCUUUGGAAAUUUAUACAUGUGUUCGAGUAAAAGAGUUGACACAAGUUUCAUCCGAAACCAUGUGCUGCUUGGACAGCGGAGAUGGUUUUAGAUGUGGGCUUGUUUUGGAAUUUUUUGAGGAUCUAAGAUCGAAAACGUUAGUGGGACAUAACAAGCCACAAGGAUAAUGAUAUGCGGCCUCUUCUAACAAUAAUAAUUGUGACGAUAAACGAAAAAUAUUUUAUUUUUUUAAUCAUUAGGGUGAAUACUUUCUGUUGAUGUUUCCAGGGCUUGGGGUUAGCGUUAGAAAUACCGUUCAUCUUUAUGAAUUUUGCUCAAACUGUUACGUUUCAACAUUGUUGUUAUUAUUAUUUUUCAAAAAAAAAAAAAUAGUUAUUAUGGAGCCACUAUGACUUGGCACAACGGUGGGUGCGUGCUGGGCACAAGUUGGAAUCUUCAUUGGGAUUCAAACAAUGUGGGUGAAGAUAAAUUUUUUCUCAAAAUAUUAGUGGUAGUAGAGUAGAUUGUAACUAAUUAAAAAAAUAUUAUCAUUUUAAUAUUUAUAUAUAUAUUAAAACUAAAUAAAGAUAACUAAUUUUAGAUCAUAUUUAAAAAUGAGUGGUACUAAGUAGAGAGAAAAUUGAGAAAAAUUAGUUCUCUCUCUACGCACCCACUCUCUCUAUCAUUUUCUUCAUUAUUUCUCUCAACAUUCUCUUUACAUAGCAUUUUAAAAAUAGGAGAAUGUCUGCACAUACCUCUAAAAUAAUAUAUGCGCAAAAAGAUCAUGCUUUUGGCAGAGCUGCGCCAGUAAUGAAAUGAAAAUAUAUCUAAACACACACUAACGAAAACAGGCUUCGUGAGUAGCGAUUAAUUUUUCGGAUUUUUCGCAGUGGGUGAUGAAUUCGCAGCGAGUCCAGACAGAUUUGCAUAAAAAUGAUAUAUUGGUUAGUCGUGUGAGAAAGAAACCAACAAAAAGUUGGGUUGCACAUGCAUGGAUAGUUGCAAGUUGCAACUCCUAUUUCCAGUUAGAAGUUGAAAACUGUUAACUCUAGGCUCUAGCUACUCCUGAUUGGCGCAGUUAUCAUCUACCUAGUGUUUUAAUAUUUUGUUGCCCCCUGUCACAUAAUUGUGAAAAACGGAAUAAGUGCACGAGUGAAUUAUAUACUUUCUAGAACAAAUAAACUGUAUACAUAUACAAGAUUUUUUCUGAUGAUGUUAUGAACUUUUUAUCUGGUAAAUUAAUAGUCCGUACACUCCUAUAAUUGGUAACUAAUAGACAAAGAAAGAAGUAAAACUUGAUCAUACGCACCAAAAGAUUUAGCUAAUUAAGUCUCAUGCGAUAUACUUUCGUUUGAAUAUGAGCAAGUUCCCAUGCAUUGUAAUGGUGAAGACACCGGAACAUGAUUCUCUCCUGAUCUUACCAUUACUAAGCUUUUAAUGAUAUUUUGCCAUGUGUCUUUUAGUGGUAGUGUAAGGGUAAAAUUUAACUUCUUUUACUUUUUUAUUUAUUAACAACCAAUCAGUGAUUGAGUUAUUUGCUUAGGUCAUGAUCAGAUUAUGAGAGAAUCCUGAUCUGAAGACACCAUGUACGUAAGAGAGAGAUAAGAAAAAAAGAAACGGGGAGGUUUACAUGUGCAUGCAGAAAGACAGACCAUAUAGAGCUAAUUAUGGAUAUAUAUCAUUUUUGGUAUCAUCUGGUACAUAAAGAUACAGAAGGGGAAAAGACCAACUGCGCAAGAUCCAUGGGAUAAAAUUGAACUCAUUGUUUGCCAAUGUGGUAGUGCUUUAUAUAGCACCAACUUAACAUAUAAGUUCACUAAUGAAUGUGAAAAAAUAAGACUUCACAAUGACAUUAUAAAAUAAUGGCACGUCAUUUGUUACAUUAUGUAGGUAUAAUUUUCUAUCACAAAUUUAUAAAUAUAAUGUUAUUAAUGAUAACAUUAUAUAUAUCAACUUGGAAAAGAACUAUAUUAUAUUAUAUUAUAUAUAUCAACUUCUACUUGUUGAAGUACACUAUUUGCCUUUCAAAUUUUAAGUAUUGUUUGUGCGAUCAAUGGCUAAGUUUCUUGCUCAUUGCCUAAGAUUUAAUAUUACUAAUAAGUAAUAAAGACAUUAUCAUGCAAUAAUAAGAUAAAAGCAGAAGUAUCAAGCUACAUAUUCAAGUUCUCCAUAUCUUUGGAUUCUGAUUAAUUUGGAUUCUGUCUCUCAACAUUAAUUUAGGGUUGUACAUAGAAAGCAAAAUCUCGAGCGAGUGAAAUUUUGUCGGGGUAUAAAAUAUGGGACACAAGCCAUGUGGAUCACCACCUUCACUACGUGGUUACGGAAAUGGGCAUGUUCGGUUAAGACAAUAAUAAGCAAUCCUUUAGAGUUGGUUGGUGAUCCACACACUGAAUAAAGAAUUAGACAUCCAAGAAGAAGCUAAUUAAUCAACAUUUUACGAUAUAUAUAUAUAUAUAUAUGUUUCUCUUUAACAAAACGACAUGGCACCCAUGAAAAAAAAUAGGCAGAUGGAGGUCGGAAAAAGUCUCUUACCUGUAACACUAGCUAUUGUAUAUAUAAUAUGUACACACGGGCGAGUUUUUCAUAAAUAGCGUGAACAAAUUGGAAUCCGUAUUUGGAGCCAUAACACGAAAUAAUAAAGCUGAGAAGGUCGAUCUCCAGGUGAAAAUUUCACAUUAAAAUUGGCUACUAUAUAAAUUUAUGUAUAAAUCAUCUCGCUCGGACUCAAAUUAAUCCGCCCACAUAUAUUAGUAGAAAAUAUUUGUUAAGUAAAUAUAUGCACCAAAUAUUUUAUGUUUUCAUCCGUUGUGCUUUAAGAAUUAAGUAAAACUGUAAAAGCAUAACUUCUCUAUAGCGUAAAGUUGUACAUAAAGGAUCCACCGAAGAAGAAGAAGACUUCUCUAGCAAAUUAUACAUAAGCGUAAAACACAUCAUGUAAGAAGCAAGUUGCAAAUUUUUAUUUAAUUAACCUCACAUGUAUGUCUCGAACCCCACUUGCACGAAUCAUGAUUUAGAAAUUAGAACUAAGAUCUUCUCCAGCAAUGUUGCUAUUCUGUUCAGCUAGUUAUUUACUUUUUGAUCAUUGAUUUGAAUAAUUUCAGGAAGUGAGAAAGUUAAUUCAACCACGUCUAUGGAUCGACCAAUACAUCAUCUAUUUGCUAAGCAAAAAUCCUUCCGUAGAUGUGGAGGAAUCUCUAGUCUCCGUGACUACUUGCAAGGGAGCUUCAUUGUCUACUUUCUUUCCUCUCUCUUAUGCUAAAGUCAAGGUGACCGUCAAAAUGUAGUUUCAUAAGGAUAAUGAGUCUGCGUCUCACCGAGGCUUGUGCAUAACAUCACAACUAGUACAGGAUUUGUUUUUUCUCCUAUUUUUUGCUACAAGGAGUUUUAGGAUCCGUAAAUAAGGACUGGGCAACUUUGAAUUUUGAUGAAUCCAAUUCGAUUUUGGAUUGUUCGGAUUAGGAAAAAAAAUAUCAUCAAAUUCAAAAUUAGAUGAUAUUUAAGAUGAAUUCAAGCUUGGAUCAAUUCGAAUGAAUUCAGAUUUGGAUGAUAUUUCAGAUUUCAUUUAAGUUAGUAGUUCAAUUCAAUCGGAUUCUUUCGGAUCAAUCUGGAUUCGAUCCGAUUCAAAACAAAUCGGAUCAGAUGGCACAAACUAUAUCCAAUCCGAUAUCAGGCAAUAUUCAAAUCUGAUCCGAACUGGAUCGGAUCGGAUCUAUAUGAAUCCGAUGCCGAGCCCCACCAGAAAUUAGAUGCGCUUAUGUAUAAUUUUUUGCGCAAUUACAAAUAUGACGAAUUCCUCUAAUCUAGAUAACUUUCUUAUCAUAUUUUAUAGUUUGAAAGUGCAAUUCAAAACAUGUCAGCACAAUUAUAUAGAUUUCCAAUUCUCAAACCCGAGCAUGCCGGAGUUCCAAAUUGUCUAAAACAUGAUCCCUCCUACAAAUGCACAAAUGUGGCCCCUGUUUAUUCAUAUAGAUCAUUACAAGAAAAACAAAACAUCUAAAUUUCAGUGACAAGGCAAAAUAUAUAUAAACCAGCAUAACGGAUUUUAGUACAGCAUAAUUUUGCUACAGGCAUAAACAAGAUGUUGAAUGAGAAAUAGAACCACUACUUCUCUGUUUGAGGCCCUCUCUUUGGGCAAAAGCCCCAGGCAUUCAAAGUUUGGAUGUCGCAAGCUUGAUGAGAUCCUUCCUGAGAAUCUUGCCUGAUGGAUUCUUGGGUAUUGAAGCUACAAAUGCCACUCUCCGAACCCUCUUGUAUGGGGCAACCUGAAAAUUUAAACAAAACUGCUAAAUUAACUGUUCCAUAACUAAUUCAAAAGCCUUUAAAUAUUUCCGACCAAUACGAUCUAAAACACCUGUCUUGCUACAAAAUCCAUGACUUCAUUCUCUGAUAAUCGACUUCCAGCUUCCCGUACCACAUAUGCCAUGGGAUAUUGCCCAGCCUCCUUGUCAGGAAAUCUGAGAAACCAUAUACCAAACUAAAUCUCCAUUUUAUUUUAUUUCUUUUAACAAAAAAGAUCAUAAAUCUGUUUGCAGGAGUAAGUUUCCGGAGAUACUUUUUUUUCCCAAUCCAACACCCCCCCCUCCCCCCAACAUUUCAGUAACACAAAUCAUUAAAGAGGCACUUAUUUUUAUAAAAAGGUGAGUUACCAUGCCC